UAAGUUAAAAGGAAUAAAAUGACAAAUUUAACCUCAUAUGUGAGGCUCACGUACUAACAAUUAAUAAAGAGUUGACAGAAUCCUCAAUUUUGGGCCUAAUUCCUAAGGGACUUCAUCACAGGAGUUUAAAUCCUAAUAUUUUUUUUUUUUACUAUGAAGUCCAUCUUCCAACUACCUUGUUGAAAUUGAUACCAAGCGGAAUAUCUUGUGUUUAAAAUUCAAUAUAUUCUUGGCUAACUAGUCAGCGUCACCAACCAACUAAGAUCAGAUUUGUUAAUUUACCAAAAGCAAGAAUAAACAAUUAUACUUGGUUUACUAACGAGGUCCUAGUUAACUAAGGUUCAGUUCAACACAUAUUUAACUUUGAUAAGCUUAGUUGUAGGCACAUAUCUAUUUGCAUACCCUAGAGACUAUAUAUCACAAGCAAAUGAACAUACGUAAAUUAACAAGAGAAAAACAUAAGCAACACAAGGAGUUUUGACCGGGAAAACCCACAUAUAGGUUAAAAAAAUUCGAGGACUCUCCAUUGAGUCCAAUCCACUAGUGCAAAUACAUUGAAUCAUGUGAAUUGGAUGAACUAGAGAUUUGAUGUGGUGGAUAGCCAUGAUUGAAUAAACCAUGAAACCAACUAUUAUAAAUGAAUAAGAAAAACCAAAUGAAUGAGUCAUCUGUGUUUACCUUAAAUUUGAGAUAUUCGAUAAAUUGACCGUGAGUAAGAAUUUUAUGCCACUCAAAAUCAAUUGUUAUGAAAAUAAUGAUUUCAAAAUAAUGAUGCAGAUAUAAUUUUGAAAAUAAGUUUUAUUGCGAAACUUACAUUGGGACUUACAAUUAAUUUACUGACGAUAAAUUCAACCAUCAGAGGGUCAUCAGUCUGGUUCUCUAUGAAUUUCCCAUUACUCUUCAUUCAGUCACCCCAGCGCAGCCAGUAAUCUCAGUUCUUCCAGCUUAAUCAUUAUUGGACUUUAGUCCAUCCUCAUCCCUUAAAGGAACAUUCAAGUUGCCCAAAUCAUCAAGCUCAAAGAAAAAUAAAGCCACUUAGCUUCAAGAUUUAGCACAAUAAUUACUUGUAGAAGCAGCAAUGCUCCACACUGAAGAAGAAGAAGGUUCAGACUCCAAAUCUUCAGAUGUGUCCUCACAACAACUAGCCAAUCCGACAAGUCAAAAAACAUAGUCAGCCAAGUGGGUCGACUACCAGGAUUCGCAAGACCCUUUUGCAUAAGGCCAUGUGAACACAGUUAAUUACCAUGUGAAAAUUCAGUCAUCAUAUUAAGUCAUCAUGUGAAUACUAUGACAAUUGCCAUGUGAAAAUUUAGCCUUAUUUCCAAGUCACCAUGUGAAGCGUUUAGACAAUGUUUGCAUUAAUAAUUCCGACAAAGCAUAGAAUCAUUAAGUCAUCUGCACAUUCGAAGUCAUCUGCACAUUCCACAGUAAAAGAAGCAAUUAUUCCAACAAGUUCACUAUUCAUCAACAGUAAAAACAAGUCAUCAUUCAUCCCAUACUUCAACAGUAAAGCAAUCAAUCAUUCAAAUCUCUUUUCCAAGUCUAUAUGAAGAGGACUCAGAUGAAGGAGACAUCAAGUUAAUUUCUACAUCUUUUCUCAAUCAAAAUUUCUUUGGGUUCACACUGUAUUCAAAGAAAACCAAAUUGUAAACAAUUUAAAUUCUCAAAUGUCAAGGAUGCCUGCGUGCACCAAUAUCCUUUUUAUCAGUAAAUUUCUUAUUUGUUGGAAAUUAGGUGGAAAGAUGGCUUUGUCUAAUUUUUCUUGUGCUUGUUCCCGAUUGAGAUUGAAAGGGAUGCUAAAAAGAUAUUCAUUGGGAUUGAGAUGAUGACGAUUGGUAUGUAGGGGUUGAAUAAGGAUCAUAUUGACUGACUAAUGCCGUUUGGUAAUUGGGAUGUUGGUAACUGGUAAUUUGGCCUAAGGUUUCCUAUUGUGGAACCUAAAGGAGUGAAACUGUUGGUAAGGGCUAAGGCCGAUGAAGAAUCUGGGCUUAAUUCUUGUGUUUAUUGGUGGUGGUGGUAAAGUGGUUGGAAGCCUCAUCUGAUUAGGUCUUCUUGCUGUCAUUCUUUUCCUGCAAAAAUUCUCAGGUUAGGAAAUCAAGGAUGCAAUUUUGACUACCUUUAAUAUAUUCGAUUUCAAAAUAAAAAAUACUUAAUAUAACUUGCCAUUGUGCAAAAAUCUGUUUUGAUGCAAUGCUUUGAACAUCUUUUUGUAAAACAUGUUUUGCAGAUUUGCAAUCGACUCUGAUGAUUUAAUAAAUCAUCUUGAAAUUUCUAAUUGAUGCGAAAAUUAUCUUAGCACACAAAUUUAUCCCUCUUUUGACAAUUGUAGUACAAGUAUAAGUAGGGAUCGUUUUGGACCGGGGAUUAGGAGGGCUUGCUAAUAAGCUCUAAAUUGACUCAAAAACAUAAAACAAAACUUAAAAACACUUAACAAGGCUCACAAGACUCAAAGCAAACUUAAAUUACUCAAAACAGCUUAAAACAACCAAAUAAACUUAAACUAGACACUAUAAAUGACUUUGGACGAAAAUUGACUUUUACUUGAAUCAAAACACUUAAAAACACAAACUAAAACAUAUUUGAAACACUUUGAAACAAGAAACUAAAAGGGGGGUUUUGAUGUGGAUGAAGUUGAAACAAGCAAACAAGUAUGAAAAACUAGACAGAUUGUAAAAUGAAUGUGAGAAAUAAGAUGAUGGAUGGGAUAGCUAGAGGCUUUUUCUCCACACAUGACAUGUAUGCAAAUAACUCGAUUUCCAGUUACUACUUCGUUGAAUUAUGAACGACAAUGCUCCAAAUUAACCGUGACAUCACUAGUUAACUCUCAGAUUUUCCUUGUUUUAUUGGAUUGGAUGACAUCAUUCGACAACCCAAAACAUUCUUCUAAAGUUCCCUACAUGACAUCAUAAUUGAGAUACAAUCAAAGAUCAUUACGUUUAAUGAAAAUCAUAAGCAUUGACAAAGCACUUGCAACUAUGACAUCAUGUCACUCAUGCUAGGAAUUGAACUUAACGCGAUCGUUUAUAAGCGACCUUCACUAUAUGUGAAUAUAAGUUUGUAACGAUUAUGUGAAACUUCCUUAUAUUCUAGCAACGGAUUUAUGCAUGCCAAUUAAGUGUCGACCCUUAAUUAACAAAUACAAAUAAAUUAUCAAUCAAAUAGUUAAGCCAAUUGCAUUCAUGAUUCAAGAGUUCAUAACUGGAAUUUAUCAAAUUAUAUUGCACACAUAAUCAUGGCUUUGAAAUCACCCCUAGCCAAGAGGGUUUUAGCCACUCAUAUUUACAACAAAACCAAAGGAAAUGAAUUUAAACAUUAGAAAUAAAAGAAAGAAAACACCUAAACGCUCCAACGAUCCAAGUUGGACAGCAAGCACGUCCAAGCACUUCUUCCCUUCCUUUGCUACGGCACAAGGUGUUGGUGAGUGUUUGAAGGUUUGUUUGUAUGGAGGAAUGGAUGUGAAGAUGAAUGGAUGUGUUUGGAUGAAGAUUGUGUUGAAAUGGGAGUGAAUGAUCUAACCAAGUAUGAACUCAAUUUAUGUUACACACACUUCCUUUUAUAGAGGAAGUGCAAGGCAAAGCAUGGGUAAAAUGGAGUGGGUUGAAAUGAUUCAAAGGUGAAAGUGAAGUAAUGAUGCAAAGCAUGGGUAAAAUGGAGUGGUGUUGAAAUGAUUCAAAGGUGAAAGUGAAUUGAUGAUUGAUGCAAGAAUUAAACAUGGAUGGAGUGCACGGCAAAGGUUUGUUAUGGUAUAAGGAACCCUAAGGAACCCUUAAAUUUGUGUCCUAAAAUGCAUGUGAAACCUUCAAUGUUGCUGGAACUUAGGGACAUUUAUUUAGGAAAGAUCAAACCAAAAUAGGAAACCUUGGCUUAACUUUCCUACUUCAAGUAGGAAUCCUCAUCUUUAGGUGUUCAAUUUCGUCCAUUCCUUUAGUUCCAAGCAUGUGAUAUUUAUUCCAAGCCCAAAAUUGCUCCAAAAGGCUCCAAAAAUGCACAUUUUUGCAUACUUUGUCCUUAGAACCUGAAAUUGCACAAAAAUGACUUUAAAACACUAAAACAACUAAGGAACUAAUAUAAAAAUAAAGAAUGAGAACAAGCUAACUCAGUCGCAUAAAACAACUAAGGAAUAACAACAUAAUGACUAGCACUGGCUUCUUCAGGAGAGACUAACUUCAAUUUUAAGUUAAAACUUGACUUCAAAUAAACUUGAAAAGCUUUUUCUUUAGGAUUUAAUGCUUUUAAUCUUUUUACAUAAAAGACUUUAUUUGGGUCAAAAUUCUUUGCUUUCUUGUUAAUUGAUCUUUUGUUCUUCUUGUUUGAUUUCGGAUUGAAAUUUACUUACAAGGCAUUUGUGCAUCCUAUCUUAAUGAAAGACUUUGAGGUAUGAAUAGAUGAUGAAUUAAAAUCUAAAUUGUCUUCAAAUUGACUAUGGUCUGUUUCUCUUAAUUCUAAGACUUGGAUUAGCUGGGUCUUCUCCUUCUCAGAGAUUUUCAAAGGAUAUUUAUUUGUUCUUGACUUGACUUUUGUUUGCAUUUGUAAUGACAUUUUCUAAAUGCCUAAAUUUGCAUUAAUUUUGUUUGUUCUUGAUUUUUGGAGUUUUCAAAAAGUUUUCCUGAGGGUUUCCUCUUCCACUUGUUGAACUUGGGUUUCUCGUGUAAAAUUUAUUUGUUUCACUAAAAAUUCUUAUUUUUGAAAUUUGUUAUGUUUAGGGUUCUUAUUUAUAUUGGGCUCUUGAUUUAAUUUUUUUUUGAAGUAAAAGGAUUUACAUUUCUAGGUUUUCAAUCGAUUUUGUUUGAUGGUUUUCUGAAUUAAUAAUUUAUUUCUAAACUUUUUAAUUUGGUCUUUUUUGAACUUUCUAUAAUGCUAAUAUUGUCAGCUAUUUUUUGACUUUUGUUUUAUCUUAUUUUAAUAAAGUACAUUCUGAAUUUUUGUAAAAAUUAUUUUUAAUAAAAAUUGCCAAUCCAUUUUUAUUUUUUCCAAAAUUGAUUAAUUAAUGUUUGUAUUUAAACAUGGCUAUUUGACUUGCACUUUUUUACUUUUUUUUGAUAAAAUCAUCUAUAUGACAUUUCUAUCCUUUUCUAAAUAAUAUUAAUAUUUCCAUAACUAAGGGUAUAUAUGGUAUGACACCUUCUUCAAACUAAAACAUUUUAUGAUUUUGAAUAUAUUCCAUUAAUGAAUUUUUCUUUCCAAAAUGGUUGAUUACUAUCUUCUUUAAGCAUGACUCUAGACAUGAAAACAUCUUUGUACCACCUAAAAUCGCUUAGGGUUAUACAUCUUAAGUUACUGAGUUGGUCAUGAAUCCUAGAUGUGACAUUACUAGGUGUCCCUAUGAAAUGUUCUAUGAUAGUGAAAAGUAAUGUGUUGACCACAUCUGGGACUCCUCUUCUGAUACAUUCAUCGAAAAUAGGUGUUCCGUCUUCAUCUCUUUUGACUGUAUUUUUUAUUGCAUUUCUGAAUUGUUCAGUAAGAUAUUUUUCCCACCAGGAAUGGAGGUUCCUGUAAAUCCAGUGACCAAAAUGUCGACAACUUGGGUUGGACUAAGGUUAUGAUUGGUAAUAUAACUAUUAGCAACUAUGAAGAUGGGUUGUAAUUUGUUCAAAAGUUCUUGUUCUGAUAAUCUAUCUAUGUUCCAUUCAUAGAGUUUAUCAGCCGAGACCGAGAAUUGGUUUUGGAUGUUUCUUUCCUCAAAUUGAAUAUCCGGAGAUGUUGGCCUUGGAUACCAAUUUUUUGUAAGAGUUGUCAGAUUGACUCUUUUGUUUGUGAUUCAUUUUAGUUCAAGAUUUUGAAAAGCUUCUUCUACUUUUCUGAGGGAAUUUGUUUCACUCUCGCCUUCUAAAUUCCAUAUUGCAAAAGUUAAGUUUGGUUGAGAUUCAUCUGGGUGUUGUAAAACAUUGACAGUUUUUUCUUGUUUUAACUCUUGUAACAUUUGAUCUAUUUUUUGACUUGUGGAGAUUGUUUUCAAAGCUGUUUUGCUAGAUGCGGCUUCUGGGAAGUUGACUAAGGGUUUUUCCUUAAUUGUUGGUUUGGAAUGUGAAAGUCUAUCUAUUUUGGUUUCUAUUUUAUCUAGCUGUUUUCCUAUGGUGUGUAGACUCUGGUUUGUGAAAUUAUUUUGUUCAAUGACUGGCUUGACUCCUGUCUUCUUUGGGAAGUUUGAAAAGGGUGGUUGGUAUCUGUGUGUUUGCAAUUGUAAUUAAAAUUGUUUCUUGUGGAGGGUGACUACUUUAACCCAAUUUUCUUUGGUGAUAACUUCUAAUUUCUUUUCAGACAAGUAAUAUUUUUUAACGAAAUCGAAGAAAAAUACUUCAAAUCUGUGUUUUUUUUCAUGAAAUUGGUCCAUUUAUUGUAAAUGUCCAAUUUUUGUUCUUUUGUAUAUUUUUCCUUAAAGGUGUUUCUUCUAGGAAUGUUUUCCAUUGCUUUGAUGUCAGCGUUGAGUUUUUUCCAUCGAAUUUUGAAUGGUUUGUUUAUGACUAGCAGUUGGUGGUUAACUUGAUUUGCUUUGAAAUCAGAUUCUGUUAGAGAGGUUUGUUCUCCUUGAUUUUGGGUGUUAGGUUGGUAUCUUGGAUGAGUAACCUGAGAGGUUUCUAUUGAUUUUAACUUUAUGUUGAUCAAGUCAUUAAUUAAUUCUUGUUGAGUAGCUACUGAGCUAGUUUCUACUGAUUUUAAUUUCUUAUUGACCAAAGAAUUGAUUAGAUCUUGAUCUUGACCCACCAUAUCGGCUGAUGUAGAUCCAGAAAAAGAGUUUCUAUCUGGCUCUAAAGAUUUGUGUGACUGGGCUAACUCAGGUAAGUGAACACUAGAUUUUCUGGCUGGAGGGUUGAAGUUGAUUUUAACUAUUCCAUCAAAAUAUUGUUCUAUGUUGUCUAGGUUGACUAAGCUAUUUUGUAUGCUUACUGAUUUGCUUUCAUUGAUCAAGCAGCAAUCUGAAGGUAGAUUGAUAUCUGACCAUUUGAUAGUUCUGGGUAUUUUGAUGUUGUCAUUUUCUUGAUUGAUUUGUAUCAAGAAUGUGUGGUCUCUAGGACUUUUAACUAAGGCUUGGAAAUUCAUGGUUGUUAUGUAACUUUGUAGUAAACUCUAAAGAUAAGGCUAAUGGUUGGACUCCUUCAAGAAUUUGGUACCUUGAAGUGUUGUUAUUUAAUGUGAGUGCUUUUAGCAUGUGGGGAUCUAAAAGACUUAUCGUGAGAUCUAGGAAACAAUCAAAAUGAAUUGGUCUGUUGUAAAGACUUCACUCAAUCAUCCCAAGAAUGCUAUCACAGAAGUUAGUGAAUCUUGCAUCUCGGAGGCAUAACAAAAUAGAGAUAUUGAUGUCUCUUUUUGUUAAGGGCUUGACUGCUAUUUGGACUAGACCUAUGUGAAUGUAAUUGUAACCAUCUUUUCUAUGAGUUUUAAUUUGUUCUGGUGUGAAUAACUGACAAGUUUUAUGUUCUUUACUAAGAAAAUAAGCCUUUUCAACUGUUUUGAUGUGAUGUUCACUCCUAAAAGAGGCUACUAACCAUUUAUUUUUGUAAAUGUUUUUACUACAAACCUUGGGGAUAUUCCAAUCUCCAAACUUGACACUGUCAUCUAUUUGAAAUUCUAAUUUUUGUUCUUCAUUUACUAUGCGACAGCCCGUCCCUAAUUUUAAGAAUUUUUAAAAUUUUAAUAAAGGAUUUUACAAAAAUGCCCUUUGAGGCACAUGCAUUAUUCGAGGUUAAUCGUUGUGUCGUACCAUCUAAGAUUUGUUUUCUUGUCAUAUCCUCGUAGUACUCGUCGCUACGGAUGCAUGGGCGCAGACGGUUCGUUAUUUGAAGUUAUAACGAAAAAGAUUUUAAAGUUUGAAGUUUGGCCAUUUUAUAAAUUUUAUUAUUAAAAUUUGGAUGGCCCAGAUUUAAUGAAGAUUAAAUGGAUGGCUUGGAUGUAAGGAAAAACAAAAUAAAUAAAUUUAAGUGAAUUAGGGUUUUGUGGUGUGUGUGUAUGUAACGGGAAAUGGGGAAGAAAAGAGAAGAAGAAGAAGAAGAGGGAAGGAGGAAUUCUGUUGCCCAAUCAGAGGAGAGGAAGGGAGAGACUGCCCAAUCAGAAGCAGGAGCAAGGAGGGAAAGGAGAGAGUGUGGCGUGUGGGGGAAAGGGGGAAACGGGUUCCCCAACCCGCGACCCGUGUGCACCCAUUUCCAUCCCUUCACAUUUUCCGGUGGUUUUCCACCGGAUUUCUCACGAAAUCGGACUAAGAAACCAUCCCCAAUCAUUCCCUAGUCCUUUCCUCUUCCAUUUUCAAUCAAAUUUUAUGGGAUUUGAACUUGAAUUCGAGUAGAACGAAAAUAUGGGUUCCGAGGAUGCCAUGGCAAAAUCCGACGAUCGUGAAGGUAAUCCAACAAAUUGCUACCACCACUAGACUCCCCUAGAACCCAGGAAUAAAGCCCAGGCAGUGGUGGAGGCGUCGGAGCAAGUUUGAAGGCCGAAUCGAAUCACACCCAAAUUCUAGGGUUCUUCACGGUUUUGGUGAAAUUGGAGCUCUUCCAGGCAAAAUUGGCCUUGUCCACAGGUAUAAAGUUUGCUCUACUCAUUGAGAUCUUCAAUUCUGUAUUUUUUUGAGAAUUUUUGGAAAUAGUUGGAUUUUCCGGCGAACCGGGCGGCCAACCGCCACCCGCGGCGGCCCGUGCAGCGGCGCGUGGCCAAUGGCCCGCCAAUGUCAUUCUUAGAAUGUGUUUAAGGUUCUAGGUUCAGUUUUGAUAAUUGAUGGACGUAAAUUGAAUAAUUGAACCUAAGUUCGUUACGAUUCGUGAUUAGAUGAAAAUGUGAAUUGACGAUCCGACCGUUGGAUCGUCACCAAACUUUGAUACGUUGUAAUACGUAAUAUUUGAGGAUUAUAGGAACUUACGGAUUGGGAAUCCGAUUUACGGAUCUUCCAGAAUUGGAGUUGUAAGUUCAUAAAAUAGAAUGUUAAUGGUCACUUGGUUUUGGAAAUUGAUGGAGAUCCGACCGUUGGAUGGUAAUGAAAUUUUAGGAUGUUGUUCUAGAGAUAUAUUGUGGACCUCUAGAAGUUAUGGAUUGGAAAUCUAAGUUGCAGAUCUUCCGGAUUGAACAACGUAGUGACGUAUUUUAUAUAAGUUAUAUAUUCUAUCGAUAUGAUUUCUAAGGUUGGAUUUGAUUAUUGUUUUAGGCGCCGAUCGUCAUGACGCCUUGACGUAUUGUGCUAGGGAGUUGUAGGGCGAACUCCAGGUGAGUGGGCAGUUUUGUUUUCGUAUUAUCUAUAUACUACUGUUUUCCCAGAAAAUGUGUUUAUAUGAAAAUAUGAUUUAAAUUGCCAUGCAUGCAAUUGUUGAGAUAUUUGAAUUGAUAAUUGAUGCAUAUAUAUGUGAAUUGACGCGGUGGACGCACAGGUGAGUCUUUACAUUAUUCAGACGAUUUAUUUAUGUGAAUUGCAUUGAAAGCUCAUAACCUGCACCCUAGGUGUUAGUGCUUAUAUUAUUCACCACACCGCACACUCACCUUGGAUCCAAGUAGGUGGAUGUCGUACAGACCACUAUAGGUGGUUCCGACAUGCCAGUCGUACAGACCAUUAGAGGGGUUCCGACUGGUGGGUGACCUUAGAUUAUGCGCGCCGAUGAUUGAUGAGAAGCACUAGAGCGUAUUAUUUCACCAUAUUAGUCGUACAGACUACUAUAGGUAGUUCCGACUUAUGUGCAGUGUAGUGCCGUACAGGUCACAGUUGGUGACCCCGGCUGGAUGGGAUAUUGAGCUAUAGAAUCAACCGUACAGGACCACUAUAGGGUCUCCGGUUGAUUUAUUAUUUCACCUGAUUUAUAUCGAUGCAUUCAUAUUAUAUUUUGGCAUGGCAUGACAUAUUCUUUCUGAGAUGUUAUGUUGAUAGAUGGUGAGCUGAGUUUCGAUGAUAUACGUAUAUAUAUGUUUAUAUACUAUUUUUCUAGGAAAGUAAACAGGUUUUACGGUGAGGGGUUAGAAAUGUUUUAAUUGAAAUGUUUUGGAAAAUCUUUGGUUUUACUGACCCAAUCAAUUUUGUUUUGCGCCCCUCCAGGUUCUAGAUAACAGAGCUUUGGUGGCCACGAGGAAUCCAACGGUGUUCUGAUAGAAUUCACAAAAGUAGGACUCACCCUCGGGUGUUUCAUCUUAGUAAUUGUAUUUUUAAAGCUUCCGAACUGUGUAAAUGGUUACGUCACUCUCACGUGACGGCCAGCAUGCCCUCUUUCGGGACGGGGUGUGUCAGUUGGUAUCAGAGCCUAGGUUGCAAUUCUGGACAUCUUGAGAAUUUCCUAGUGUCUUCUGUCAGAACUAUACCGCCUUGUAGCGAGCCACAUAGUUCGGAUGAGCCUAAAUUCCUUGAUAUAGUAGUUUGGGGGGAAACUAUUGCCAUUGUGAUUCAGUCUAUUAUCUAAAGGAACCUUUGAGACUGGUUAUAAGUUAAAUUUGAAUCACUUUAGGGAAAUGAAAAACCUAAGGGAUCAGAUUGAUGGCUUAAUCAUUUGGGAAAAGGCGUUUCGGAUUAUGCAAAGUCAAGGGAAUCUUCCUCCCGACAGGUGGGUCGAGUUGACUACCUAAUUUCUGAGUGUUGAAUCUGCAUUCUGAUGGAGAUAGGAAUGUUAUCCGAUGUUAUCGGAAGGACAGUUGUUUGGAAGUCGUUUAAAGAAUGGUUUAAGGAAAAGUUCAUUCCUCCGGCAUAUUAAUAUAAAGAGUUUAUAGACUUGCCUUGUUUCCAUUCGGAUGUAGUUGCUAAUCCGAUCGAGGUGUUAUGUCAUUUUUGGUUGGAUGAUAAGAAGAAGUGGCGUUCUUUGGCGACCACUAUCCAUUGUACUUUUUACCAGGAGUUUACGAGAUGUUGAGCAUUGAGGACUUUGAGAACAUGAUCAGCGUGAGUAAAGAGGAAUAAGAAAAGAAUGAGAAUCAGAAUAAAGACGAUAAAGUUAAAGAUCCGUCAUAUCAAAGACCUCGGAAGACUUAGAGCUUCAAAAGAAGUGAAACUAAAGCUAAUUUUCCCAGCUGAGGUUUUUGUGCCACUGGUCAGAGGCGAAGUGAUAGAUUUACUAGUGAUCCCAGAUUUCUGCGGCAAGGAGACUGGUAGAGGAAAUGUAUCUUUGUACCGUAGGUACAAUAUGAGGCACUCUGGAGAGUGUGGGAAGUUGUGAAUGUGUUCAUGUGGUUAGAUGAGACAUAGAGGUAUGAAUCGUCCCUAGGAUCAGUUGUUACCCAACAGUUUUCCUUGACAUAUCACUUGGAAAAUUGAUGAGUAAGUCGUACAGGUCACUAUAUGUGACUCCGACUUAUGUGCUAAUAUGGAUGGUCGAGCUGCAGACUCAGCCGUACAGGUCAUUCUAGCUGACUCCAGCUGAUAUAAUUCUUAUUAGUGACGAUGUUGCCAAAGGAAGUAGCGAAUGAGCAUGAUCAAGGCGUAUAUAUGUAUUUUCCCUGUCAGGAGUAAAAUGAUAAUAUUACACCCUUAAGAAUUGUUGCUUACUUAUCGAGACGAUAGUGAGUUAUCGUUAUUGCGGGCUGCAGACCGUAAUAUCCAUAACUUACUUGUUGGAUUCGUUAAGCAGGUAAGCAGGUAAGUCAUUCUAUAUCGGUUAUGAUUAUUCAGGGUGUCCAAUGAUGGUGGAAGAAGUAGUUAUGCCAGCGAAUCGCAUCCCGUUAGACAUUGUGGAUUUCGAUGUGAUUUUAGGCACAGAUUGGUUACAUUAAUCAUGCCAAUAUGGAUUGCUACGGGAAAUCAGUUACUUUCUAUUGUCUUGGAUUAUCAAAGGUUACUUUUGUGAUUGAGCAAAGUGGAGUGAGGCAUGCCGUUAUUUUUGUUGUGAGAGCAAAGAGAUUAUUAUCCAAAAGGUUGCCAAUGAUACCUAACUUAUGUGGUGUCGCAGGAUCGUACUCCUAGUAUUGUGGAUGACGUACGAGUGGUAGACAUUUUCCUAAUGUGUUUCCGGAAUGAUUUACAUGGAUUGCCACCAGGCAGAGAUGUGGUGUUCACUAUUGAAUUGUCUCCAAGUACAGACUUUAUGCUAUAGAUUGGUUCUUACAGAGUUAAAGGAAUUGAAAAUUCAGCCACAGGAAUUGGUUGAUAAAGGUUUCAGUCAACCUAGUACGUUACUUUGAAAAGCCCUAGCUUUGUUUAUAAGGAAGAAAGACGGGACCUUAAGAAUAUGUAUGGAUAUUAGGUAAUUGAAUCGGGUAACGAAUAAGAACCGUUAUCCAUUGCCGUGCAUUGAUGAUUGUUUGAUCAGCUUAGAGGUGCCUAUGAGUUUUCAAGAAAGAGUUGAGGUCUGGUAUACUCUUAAGAAAAAGUAAAGCAUGCUAGUCAGCUUGAGUUGGUGUUGCAAUAUUUGAAGGAACAUUGGUAGUAUGCAAAGUUUGACAAAUGUCAAUUUUGGACGAAUCAAGUGAUAUUUUUGGGACUUGUGAUAUCUGCACAAGGUAUUCAAGUAGAUCCUCAAUGAGUGACAACUGGGGAGAAUUGGGAACAACCUCGAACCGUCACUGAGGUACUGAGUUUUCUUGGUCUAGCAGGCUACUAUAGACGUUUGUAAAGGAUUUUUCAAUCAUUGCGUUGCCUUUGGCGAGAUUGAUGAGAAAAGAGGUUAAGUUUGAGCAAGGUUUCAGCAGCUGAAGUAUUAUCUCACUCACACGCCUGUUUUAACGCUUCCAGAUUAUAACGGUAAUUAUGAGGUUUAUAGUGAUGCUACGUUGGAUGUUCUUGAAUGCGCGUUGAUGCAACAUGGUAAGGUGAUUACCUAUGUUUCACGGCAAUUGAAACUUCAUGAGAUGAAUUACCCUAAUUAUGAUUUGGAAUUAGCAGUUAUCAUCUUUGCUUUGAAGAUUUGGAGACAUUGUCUUUAUGGGAAGAAAAGUGCAAGAUUUUUGUGAAUCAAAAGAGUAUCCAAUAUUUGUUUAUUCAGAGGUAUCUUAAUCAUAGUCAAUGAAGGUGGAUUGAGUUGCUUAGUGAUUAUAAUUGCACGACUAGGAUGAUCGUGCAAAUGUUGUGGCCAAUGCUUUUAGUAGGAAGACCCCAGUGAGAAUUAAUGCUUGGUACGAUUGCCAUGUUCAUCUUCUUGUGGAUUUGAGAUCUACUGGAGUAAUGUUGGGAAUGGAAGAUCGAAAAGAAAACGUACUUGCUAAUUUUCAAGUUAGACCUAUUUGGUAGGUCGUACUCGAGACUCAAGCGUUUGAUGAAGAAAUUUAAGAAUUUAUAUAAAGCAAGGAAUAACGGGAAAAAGAAGGACCUCAGAGUUAGAGAAUCAGAUGGCAAGCUGAUACAAGAGAACAAGGUGUUUAUACCUAAUGUUAUGGAAUUAAAGGAAGCAAUUUUGGAAUUCGUGUACUGUUCAACUUAUACAAGGCAUCCUGAAGGUAUUAAAAUGUAUCAUACCAUUCGACCAUUUUUAUUGGCCAGAUAUAAAAAAGGGGAAAUUGUUGAAAUUGUGAAUAGGUGUAUCAGUCGUCAGCAAGUCAAAGCAGAAAGAAAGAAGUCCUUUUGGAUUGAUGCAGCCACUUUCCGUUCCGCAGUGGAAAUGGGAAAAUAUCUAUGGAUUUUGUGUACAAGUUUCCUCGUUCACGAGAUGGUUAUGAUGAAAUUGAGGCGAUAAUUGAUUGGCUUACUAAAUCAGCGCAGUAUUCUUCAAUGAAAGAGCAGUAACCUUUCCAGAAGUGCAACAAUUAUUUAUCUGUCUUAUGGAAAAGAAAUUUGGGCUUACGUAUCUGUUGAACUUCUUGGGUAUGUUAGUCCUUUUAGUUUGUUCCCUAGAGCAACGCCAUAAGGCCGUGAAAAGCUGUGUCUUAUGUUUCGAAAUUGUUAGAAUUGUGGACGGAUGGUAUUCAAGGCCUUGAGUUAGUGGAAGAGAUUACUCGGAAUAUUCAAGUAAUUAAGUCUAACCUGGAAGUGAGCCAGGAUCGGCUGAAGAGCUUAGCAGACAAAUAUGCCACUGACCGGACGUGUAAUGCAGGAGAUUGGAUGUUUUGAAAUUAUCACCUUGGAAAUGUGCGGUUCGGGUCGAAAUGGAAGACAAGUUAAAUCCUAAGUACAUCAGGCCGUCUUUGACUAUUGAAGGAAUCGGUGAAAUACUUUCAAGUUUGAGUACCCUCGGGAUUGGAUAAGGUGUAUAGUAUAGUUCAUGUUUUGAUGCUUCGUUACAAAGUAGCAGAUUCGUCGCAUAUGAUUCCGGUUCAGCCUUGGAGAUUAAUCCGGAUUUGGCUUAUAAUGAGGAACCCAAGAUUAUUUUGGAAUAGAAAGAGGAAGUCCUGAGAAAUAAGACAGUGUACUUGGUAAAAGUUUUAUGGAGGAAUCAUUCAGCAGAAGAAACUACUUGGGACAAAAGAUCGAAUGAGAGGGAUGUGUUCCAGGUUGUUUUAUGGAUAUCGAUGGAUUGUAAAGAUUGUGUAAAUUUCGAGGACGAAAUUUUUUUAAGGUGGGUAGAUUGUGACAGCCCGUCCCUAAUUUUUAGAAUUUUUAAAAUUUUAAUAAAGGAUUUUACAAAAAUGCCCUUUGAGGCACAUGCAUUAUUUGAGGUUAAUCGUUGUGUCGUACCAUCUAAGAUUUGUUUUCUUGUCAUAUCCUCGUAGUACUUGUCGCUACGGAUGCGUGGGCACAAAUGGUUCGUUAUUUGAAGUUAUAACGAAAAAGAUUUUAAAGUUUGAAGUUUGGGCAUUUUAUAAAUUUUAUUAUUAAAAUUUGGAUGGCCCAGAUUUAAUGAAGAUUAAAUGGAUGGCUUGGAUGUAAGGAAAAACAAAAAUAAAUAAAUUUAAGUGAAUUAGGGUUUUGUGGUGUGUGUGUAUGUAACGGGAAAUGGGGAAGAAAAGAGAAGAAGAAGAAGAAGAGGGAAGGAGGAAGUCUGUUGCCCAAUCAGAGGAGAGGAAGGGAGAGACUGCCUAAUCAGAAGCAGGAGCAAGGAGGGAAAGGAGAGAGUGUGGCGUGCGGGGGAAAGGGGGAAACGGGUUCCCCAACCCGCGACCCGUGUGCACCCAUUUCCAUCCCUUCACAUUUUCCGGUGGUUUUCCACCGGAUUUCUCACGAAAUCGGACUAAGAAACCAUCCCCAAUCAUUCCCUAGUCCUUUCCUCUUCCAUUUUCAAUCAAAUUUUAUGGGAUUUGAACUUGAAUUCGAGUAGAACGAAAAUAUGGGUUCCGAGGAUGCCAUGGCAAAAUCCGACGAUCGUGAAGGUAAUCCAACAAAUUGCUACCACCACUAGACUCCCCUAGAACCCAGGAACAAAGCCCAGGCAGUGGUGGAGGCGUCGGAGCAAGUUUGAAGGCCGAAUCGAAUCACACCCAAAUUCUAGGGUUCUUCACGGUUUUGGUGAAAUUGGAGCUCUUCCAGGCCAAAUUGGCCUUGGCCACAUGUAUAAAGUUUGCUCUACUCAUUGAGAUCUUCAAUUCUGUAUUUUUUUGAGAAUUUUUGGAAAUAGUUGGAUUUUCCGGCGAACCGGGGCGGCCAACCGCCACCCGCGGCGGCCCGUGCAGCGGCGCGUGGCCAAUGGCCCGCCAAUGUCAUUCUUAGAAUGUGUUUAAGAUUCUAGGUUCAGUUUUGAUAAUUGAUGGACGUAAAUUGAAUAAUUGAACCUAAGUUCGUUACGAUUCGUGAUUAGAUGAAAAUGUGAAUUGACGAUCCGACCGUUGGAUCGUCACCAAACUUUGAUACGUUGUAAUACGUAAUAUUUGAGGAUUAUAGGAACUUACGGAUUGGGAAUCCGAUUUAUGGAUCUUCCGGAAUUGGAGUUGUAAGUUCAUAAAAUAGAAUGUUAAUGGUCACUUGGUUUUGGAAAUUGACGGAGAUCCGACCGUUGGAUGGUAAUGAAAUUUUAGGAUGUUGUUCUACAGAUAUAUUUUGACCUCUGGAAGUUAUGGAUUGGAAAUCUAAGUUGCAGAUCUUCCGGAUUGAACAACGUAGUGACGUAUUUUAUAUAAGUUAUAUAUUCUAUCGAUAUGAUUUCUAAGGUUGGAUUUGAUUAUUGUUUUAGGCGCCGAUCGUCAUGACGCCUUAACGUAUUGUGCUAGGGAGUUGUAGGGCGAACUCCAGGUGAGUGGGCAGUUUUGUUUUCGUAUUAUCUAUAUACUACUGUUUUCCCAGAAAAUGUGUUUAUAUGAAAAUAUGAUUUAAAUUGCCAUGCAUGCAAUUGUUGAGAUAUUUGAAUUGAUAAUUGAUGCAUAUAUAUGUGAAUUGACGCGGUGGACGCACAGGUGAGUAUUUACAUUAUUCAGACGAUUUAUUUAUGUGAAUUGCAUUGAAAGCUCAUAACCUGCACCCCAGGUGUUGGUGCUUAUAUUAUUCACCACACCGCACGCUCACCUUGGAUCCAAGUAGGUGGAUGUCGUACAGACUACUAGAGGUGGUUCCGACAUGCCAGUCGUACAGACCAUUAGAGGGGUUCCGACUGGUGGGUGACCUUAGAUUAUGCGCGCCGAUGAUUGAUGAGAAGCACUAGAGCGUAUUAUUUCACCAUCUUAGUCGUACAGACUACUAUAGGUAGUUCCGACUUAUGUGCAGUGUAGUGCCGUACAGGUCACAGUUGGUGACUCCGGUAGGGUCGUACAGGUCACAGUUGGUGACUCCGGCUGGAUGGGAUAUUGAGCUAUAGAAUCAACCGUACAGGACCACUAUAGGGUCUCCGGUUGAUUUAUUAUUUCACCUGAUUUAUAUCGAUGCAUUCAUAUUAUAUUUUGGCAUGGCAUGACAUAUUCUUUCUGAGAUGUUAUGUUGAUAGAUGGUGAGCUGAGUUUCGAUGAUAUACGUAUAUAUAUGUUUAUAUACUAUUUUUCUAGAAAAGUAUACAGGUUUUACGGUGAGGGGUUAGAAAUGUUUUAAUUGAAAUGUUUUGGAAAAUCUUUGGUUUUACUGACCCACUCAAUUUUGUUUUGCGCCCCUCCAGGUUCUAGAUAGCAGAGCUUUGGUGGCCACGAGGAAUCCAACGGUGUUCUGAUAGAAUUCACAAAAGUAGGACUCACCCUCGGGUGUUUCAUCUUAGUAAUUGUAUUUUUAAAGCUUCCGAACUGUGUAAAUGGUUACGUCACUCUCACGUGACGGCCAGCAUGCCCUCCUUCGGGACGGGGUGUGUCAUACUAUGUUUGGAAUUCUACUUAAACUGGAUCUGGAGUUAGUGUUGGCCAGUGAAUUAUAUCUAAAUAAUCUACUCAUAAUGCUCAAAAUGCAGGUUUUCAAAAUACAGAAAUCUUACUGGCUUUACCUUCCUCACAUAUUUGCUAAACUAUCUCUUCAAUCAUGCGGAUGCUAACGCCAACCCUAUGGACUUAUUGUUUGGAACACGCCUUAUUGUUUGAGUUAAGAGUAAAUAAUCCUACUUAGAGGGUUAACAAAUAAAAUAAACUGUAAGUGAAAAUUGAAGGAUGAACAAAAUGUAGUGAUUAUAGGCGGAACUAAGAUGUUUUCAUGUCCAGAUUCAUGCUUAGAGAAGAUAGUUGGUUACGAAUAAAACUUAAUCGUCAGUGAGUGAGAAGUGAGUGGUAAUUGAGUUAUAUAUAUAUAUAUAUAUAUAUAUAUAUAUAUAUAUUACCAAAUGGUUGCGGAAGUAGGGUAACAUAUAAAGCCGGAAAUAUCCGAUAUAUGUAUUUGGAAAUUCAAAGAAUUUGAUUAAUAUCAAUGUAAAAUUUUUAGGAUUAAUAACAAGAGCAUAUAUAAACAAAACUAGAUUUAAAAUAGAUUUAGUAUUCAUGAUAAAGUAAUGAAUUAAAAUUAAUGAUGCUGAUAUUCGAUUGAAAAUAUAUUUAUUGAAAAUCAAAUACGACUUACAGAAGUCUCGUCUAUUGACGAUUUGGAAAUUUAAAGACUGAUCCGGGAGCUCGCAGGCAUCCUUGAUUCUUAAAAUAAAAUAUAUUUAUAUUACAAUAUUUUUGCUGAGAAGCUGUAGACUCUGUUCGGAGUGAAUACGCAGAGUUUUCUUCUUUUUCGAAGUCCCCCUCAAUGAAGCUGGAGAUUUCCUCUUGUAGGCUGAGGAGAUGAUCCGGAAUGAUUGAAGGAUGGAAGCGGGAAUCCCGCUCUGCAUGUGCUACUGCUGUAAAGAGACCGAAAGCAGAAGAUGCUGUCGGAGACUGUGACUUUCACGAGGGUGAAUACUGUGGAUGAAUAGUAAAAGUGAUUUUACUAUUCAUGAAUAGUGUCUUGCCUGCUACUGCUGUUUUCACUUGCGGCUGGCACUGUCUUCAUAUGCAGCAAUUACAAAAUACUCUACUGAGUCUAGAUACAAUGUAUGCUACAGAGACGAAUUUAGUAAUUCCUAUGCAUGCUAUUACAAGUUUAAAAUUCGUAAGGGUCUUGGGAAUCAGGCGGGAAAAUAUUUCCUUGUGUGGCUACUGCGCAUUGUGACGAAGCAUCCGAAGAAUUGUCAGAGUCUGAACUAUCUUCAUUUUCUUCUUGCAGUUCCUUCAUGAGGAUUUUGGCUAGAGCCUUGAGCUUUGAUGAUUUCUUCUUCUUCGAACUGCUCGAAGAUUUGGAUGACUUGGUCUUGCCCUUGAGAGAGGAAGAAGGACUAAUGUCCGAUAAUGAAUCGAUUUCUUCCUUGGUUGGUUCUGGUAAAGCUGAAGCUGGAGGAGCUGCUACUGCAGGUACUGGAUUAGAACCCAUGGGGAAGUCCUUGAGCACAACUUCAAUGAUCUUCUGGUAGUUGAACUUGUCCCACCAUUUGAUCAUUCUCUGUCGAAAGACUUGAUUGGAUUCAAUCUCGUAGUUCCAACGGAGGAUCCAGGGGACCUUGUAUUUUGCCAUGAACAGGGCGAAUAAAGGGAUUCCUUCAUCAAAACGCGUUCUAUCGAACUUCUUCUGGAAAGUGCCUGAUAGGACUUGCUUGAAUUCGUCAGGCAUGAGGUCAGAGAUAAGGCCAUGUUCUGACCACCAUCUGGGAAACCAUGCAGGAAAAUUCAACCUGAAACUUCGGUCAAAGGUUAUGAACCAUGAAUGACUAAAUCUUCGGAUUGGUGCAGGAAGAUGUUAGUCCAAGCUUGAAUGUAAUCAAAAUAGGUAUAAUGGUUUGAGUGACUGGGAAAGCUACUGCUUUUAAAAGGCUUAGGCUGGAAAAGUGGAACUUGCCAUUCUGAUUCUAAUAAGAAUUUAUUAAUGAUAAGGGAAUGAUACAGGAUUCUGUUUUGGUUGCCAGAGGAUUUGUCAUAGAUAGGUUUUAUGGUGAUGGAUGAAGUCUCAUUGAGAAUAGUGGUAUAGUAUUUGAGGGUUUUGUGAAAUUCACUUGGCUGAAAAUGGGAAUUGGUUGGAAACAUCUUUUUGGCUAUUACCUCAGGUGUUUUCAGAUGUUUGAAAUUGAAAGGGAUACUGAAGAGAUACUCUUUGGAGGGUUUAAUAAUAUAAGGGGAUGAUUUUGUAUAACUUACUGAGGGAGAUGGCGAUUGCCUGUAGGUAGAAGAGAAAGGAUCAUAUUGGUUUACUAACGCUGUUUGGUAAUUUGGUCGGAUACUUCCUAGAGUUGAUCCUAAUGGAGUAAAUCUAUUGGUAAUGGCUAAGGCCGAGGAACCGGGAAUAGGUUCCUGUUUUGGUGGUGGUAAUGAGGCAGGAAGCCUCCUUUGUUGGCUACUGCCUUGUGGAGAAGCAGUGUUCUUAUUAGACAUUCUUCCCCUGCAAAAAUUCUCUGGUUAGGAAAUCUGGAAUGCAGUUAUGGCUGCCUUUAAUGUAUUCAAUUUCAAAAUCAAAGAUUGAUAGUAUGGCUUGCCAUCGUGCAAAAAUCUGUUUUGAUGCAAUGUUUUGAACAUCUUUUUGUAAAACAUGUUUUGCAGAUUUGCAAUCAACUCUAACGAGAAAUUUUUGAUUUAAUAAAUCAUCUUGAAAUUUACUAAUACAUAAAACUAUAGAAAGUAUUUCUUUUUUAAUAGUACUAUAAUUAGUUUGAGCAGGAUUCCAUACACCUGAAUGGAAACGAACAAUUUGUUCAGGUGAUCCGGAUGAAGUUUGCUGUUUGAGGAUACCUCCAUAACCAACGUCAGAGGCGUCAGUUUCAACAAUCUUAAAAGAGUUGGGAGUUGGAAUGCCAAGACAGGGCAAGGUCUUAACAUAAUUUUUGAUCUGUUUGACAAUAGAAGUAUGAAUGGUAGACCAGGCAAGAGGAUUCUCCUUAAGACGAUCAAACAAGGGUUUACAUUGCUGACGCAAAUGUGGAUAGAAUUCAGAAACAUAAUUCAAAGAACCUAAGAAUCUUUGAAGCUGGGGUUUUUCAGUAAUCUGAUCUGGAAAUUUAUCUGCAAAUUGGAUGACACGGUCAAUGGGUUGGAUAGUAGACCUAUGGAUAUUAUAACCUAAAAAUCUAAUCUUAAGUUGAAACAACUUAAUUUUAGUGGCUGACACAACCAAUCCAUUUGAUCUAAUGAUCCUAGCAAACAAGUGUAAAUGUUUCCAAUGUUCAUCUAUAGAUCUAGAGAAAACAAGAACAUCAUCAAUAUAAACAAUUGUGAAAUGACUAUACUGAUUAAAAAUCUCAUUCAUAAUAUUCUGGAAUUCAGAUGGUGCAUUCUUCAAACCAAAAGGCAUAACAUUCCAUUCAUAAUGGCCGAAAGGCGUUACAAAAGCAGUUUUAUACUUAUCAGAUUCAUGGAUUUGGAUUUGCCAAAAACCUGAUUUCAUAUCAAACUUUGAGAAAAUAGUUGCUUUACUAAGCCUUUUUAUUAAAUCUCUUUUGUUGGGGAUUGGAUAUCUAAUCCAUUCCAAAACUUCAUUCAAGGGUUUGUAGUUAAUAACUAAUCGGGGAGAACCCCUCUCAAGUUCUGCACUUUUCUGAACAUAAAAUGCAGGACACGACCAAGGUGAUUUACUUUUCCGGAUAAUUCCUUUAUUAAGAAGGUCUUGUAUUUCUGCUUUACAGAAAUCCAUUACUUCUUGACUCAUUUGAAUGGGUCUGGCCUUAGUAGGGAUUUUUGACUCAUUAAAUUCCUUGAUAUACGGUAAUUUAACGAUAUGUUGUUUGCGGUGCCAAAAGGCAUUGGGAAUAUCAGAACAUACUUCUUUAACAAGUUGUUCUUCAAAAUUAAGGAUUUUUUGAGAUAUAAUCUCUUGUUUGAGUUGUUCUUCAGUUCUUUUAUGAUGAAUAUCAUCUUUCAAGAAUUGAAGGUGUUUAGUCUUAUUAGAAAUUAUAUUUAAGGAUCGCGAAGUGCUAUCCUUCUGGAGAUGCCUAAGUUUUUUGAGGUCUGUUUCCAGGCAGAACUCAAAAGUGACUUUCUGUCCUAAGACCUUUGAGGUAAUCCUAUUAUGAUGUGUUUUAAAAGGGUAGAGGAGUGCUAUAAAGGGUAGUCCUAGUAUGACAGGGUCAGAUAAGUUCUUAAUUAGAACAAAAGGUGUUUUGAAACAAACUUCAUCUUGGCAAACAUGCGCCUUAGGAAGUUCAUAUUUGAUCUCCAUUGGAGAUUCAUUAGCAGCACUAAGGAUUUCCUUGGACUUGUGGAAAUACCUAGUGGGAAUCAAUCCUUCUUGAAUACAAUUCAAGUCUGCACCAGAAUCAAUUAAAGCAAUGGUUUCGAAGCGAAAGUCUUCAAUUACUAUUGUUACUUUAGAAUACCAUUUUUGGAUUCUAAUUUUGUGGAGAAGAUUCAGAACUAAGCGUUCUGAAUGUGUAUCAGAUUCUGACUCAUGGUGACUACUGGAAGAAGAGGAACUGAAUAGUUCUUCUUUUGGAGGAGUAUCGGCUCUAGUGAGUUGUGUACGAAUCUCGUGAUUAUCAGAUUUUAGAAGUUUAAUUUCUUCUUUUAUCUGAUUAAUUUCUUUUUGAAGGUCACUGACCGUAAUUUCUUUCUUAGGUUUACUAAACUUUGCUAGAGUAGUACUAAGAGAGAUUUGGGGUUUUUGGAUUUGAGAUUGGCUAGUGCCUACUUCUUCUUGAGAAACUAAAUUCUUAAGCUUUUUGAGGUAGAACCUUUUGAGUUCAGUGUCCUCAACAUUGCUUAUUAGUUCUAGGAGUAAUUCUUCUUGUUUUUCUUGUUUAGUUAGUACUGAUAUAUUUUUACAACAAGCAUCAGGACAUCCGAUCUUGAUGUUCGGGAUAGAGUGCUUACUAGAGGCAGAAUGGUAUGAGGAUGAAGAGGUGGAACCUAGAUCAUCUUCAGAUGAAUGACUACUGUCGGUAUUUUGGAGUUCUAGGGCUUGGAUAAGUUGAAGCUUUUCUUCCUCAGAAAUCUUCAACUGACUUAUGGUUUUCUUAACUUUACACUUAUUAGCAUAAUGCCCUUCUUUGCCACAUUUGUAGCAUUUUCCCUUAUGACUAUUGUCCUUAGAAUGGAAUUUUCCAGAGGGUUUUCUCUUUCCUUUCCAUCUUUUCUGUUUGGGGUUCUCAUAGAAUGGGUUUGGUUUGGCAUACUUGCCUUUAUGAUAUUUGGAGUAGCUGGUCCGCGGUUUGGAGAGCUUAGAUCUAUUGAAGGUAGUUGAUCUCUUUUUAAGGUUGGAAGGAGCGAUAGGUGGUAAACCAUAUUGCUCACAAAAGGUUCCUAAUUCAUAUUUGGCGAUAGCCUUAUCAGAUUGCCCUUGUCUAGAUAUUUUCAUAUCUAUACACAUUUUUAGGCCUUCUUUCUGGAUAGUACUUAUGAUAUGUCCAUAAGUAAGAUCAUUAUAUGGUAUAACACCAUCUUCGUUAAUUAAGGUAUUCCUUAUUUUGUGUGCAAAAAGGUUUGGUAAUCCAUUUAUAAAUUUUUCUUUCCAAAAUGGUUGAUUACUAUCAUCUCUAAGCAUAACUCUUGACAUAAAUAUAUCUUUAUACCAUCUAAAAUCACUUAGGGUCGGACACCUUAAGUUACUUAGUUGGUCAUGGAUUCUAGAUGUGAUGUUGGAAGGGAUUCCUAUGAAAUGUUGUAUGAUUGUAUAAAGUAAGGUAUUGACAGCAUCUGGGACGCCCCGUCCUAGAUGUUCAUCGAAGAUAGGUAUUCCUUCUUCAUCUUGUUUUACUGCAUUUCUUAUUAGAUUUCUGGAUUCUUCAGUGAGAUGUUUCUCCCACCAGGAAUGAAGCAUUCCAGUGAAUCCGGAGACAAGGAUGUCAACUAUUUGGGUUUGACUAAGGUCAUGAUUAGUGAUAUAGCUAUUUGCUACCAUGGAAAUGUGUUGGAGUUUGUUUAAUAACUCUUGUUCUGAUAAUCCAUCUAUAUUCCAUUCAUAGAGUUUAUCAGAUGAAACAGUGAAUUGGGAUUGGAAAUUCCUUUCUUCAAAUUGAAGAUCAGGAGGUGUUGGUCUAGGAUACCAGUUUUUAGUUAAGGAUGUAGGAUUAGUCCUUUUAGUGUUAAGGCGUUUUAAUUCAAGACUCUGAAAGGCUUGUUCCAUUUGAUUGAUGGACUCAAUACUUUCAUCUUCUGAAUCUGGAAUUGAGGAAGGUGUUUCAGAAUCAUGUGGGUUAUUAAUCACACGAACUGAUUUGUCCUUUUCUAGCUUAUGAAGCAUUUGUUCUAUCUUAAUAGAUGUUGAGGUUUUUAAAGAGGGUGACUCUCUAAAACUAGUUAAAGGUAUUUCUUUACUAAGUGGUUUGAUUGACAAAUUGUCAACCUUAGUUUCGAUUUUAUCCAACUGUUUUCCUAUGAUAUGUAGGCUUUGGUUGGUAAAAUUGUUUUGUUCAAUAACAGGUUUGACACCUGCAUCUUCCUUCGGAAGUUUGAACGGUGAGGCUGGGACCUGCGUAUUCGCAGUACUAAUAAGUAUAGUUUCUUGUGGAGGGUGACUGGAGGAGACAACUGUCUUGUCUUCUUUAAUCCAGUUUUCUUUGGUGAUUACCUUUACUUGGUUUUCAGACUCAUAAUGUUUUUCUACGAAGUCGAAGAAAAAUAUUUCAAGUCUGUUGGUUUGCAUGAAGUCUUUCCAUGCCUUAUGGAUUUCUAAUUUCUCUUCAGCAGUAUAUUUACUUCUGAAGAUGUUUCGUCGAGGGACAUUUUCUAAGGCUUCGAUGUCUCUACAGAGUUUCUUACGAUCAUACUUAAAAGGUUCUUGUCUGGUUAAAACCAAUAGUUGGUGGUGUACUGGUUCUGCAUCAAAAUCAGAAGCAGUUGGGGAUGUUUGUUCUUCCUUAGGGGGAAUGGAUGGAGUAUGAUAGGUAGGUUGGACUACUUGAGCGUUUGUCUCAAGUGAUUGGAGUUUGAAAUUUAAAAGGUCAUUUAUUAAUUCUUGUUGGGUGACAGAAGAGCCUGUAUCUACUGAUUUUAAUUUCCUAUCAGCUAGGGAAUUGAUUAAUUCUUGGUCUCGACCUUGCCUAUCGGUUGGCAUAGAUCCAGAGAAAGAAUUCCUAUUGGAAGUAAAGGAUUUAAAUGAUCUAUUAGACUCACAGGAAUUCCUAGCAGGACGAUCAAAAUUAAUUUUAACCGUACCGUCAAAGUAUUGCUCUACGUUGUCUAAAUUAACUAGACUAUUUUGAAUGGCUACUGGCCGACUCUCGUUUAUCAGACACCAAUCUGAAGGGAGAUUGAUUUCUGACCACCUAAUGGUUCGAGGUAUUUUAAUAUUGGCAUUCUCUUGAUCAGUCUGGAUCAAAAGAGUAUGAUCCUUCGGACUUUUGGUUAAAGCCUGAAAGUUCAUAUUUGUGCCAGUAACUUUAUAAUAAAUUCUAUAAAUCAAAGCCAAAGGCUGUGUUCCUUCUAGGACUUUAUAUCCUGAAGUUUUGAUAUUUAGUGUAAGUGCUUUUAACAUAUGUGGGUCAGACAGACUUAUGGUAAGAUCUGGAAAGCAGUCAAAAUGGAUAGGUCCAUUACAGAGGCUGGAUUCAACCAUACCAAGUAUACUAUCACUGAAGUCAGUGAAUCUAGCAUCUCGGAGACAUAAGAGGAUAGAGGUAUUAAGACCUCUACGUGUUAAUGGUUUGGCUGCAAUUUGCACUAAACCUAUAUGAAUAUAAUUAUGACCAUCUUUCCUAUGGGAAUUAAUUUGUUCUGGGGUAAACAAUUGGCAAGUCUCAUGAUCUUUACUAAGAGCAUAAGCUUGUUCAACCGUUUUGACAUGGUGUUCAGUUUUAAAAGAGGCGAAUGCCCAUUUCUUUUUAUAAAUAUUUUUUUGAAGAUAUUUUUUGGAAUAUUCCAUUCAGCAAAAUCUAGACUACUGUCUGUUUGAAAUUCAAAUUUUUGUUCUUCAUUGACAAUAUCAGGUAUAGUUCCUAAAUUUGAUCUAGAGCUAGUGCUGGCCAUAGAAUUAGAUCUAAACAAUCUACUCAUACUUAAAAAUUCAAACAAUCAAAAAACAGAAACCUUAACAGAAAAUCUUACUAGUGCUUCUAAACACCAAGCUCUCUGGGUCAUGCGCGCCGCUCAGGCCCUAUCCUCCGGGACUUACUGUUUGGGUGACGCCUUACUGCUCAGACCUUAUGGAGAUCAGGAGACACUAAAAAGGUUAAACUGAAAAGAUUAACUAUAAAGAGACUGAAUAAAUCAAAAGCAUAAACAGAGUAUUCAGACGCUAAUGGUAUACCAACCACACUUGGCUCUGAUACCAAAUGGUUGCGGAAGUAGGGUAAUAUAUAUAUAUAUAUAUAUAUAUAUAUCAAUAACACAUUUUUAUUAUUUAUUUCACAAGUCUUAAUUAAAAAAUAUGAACCUCAUCAAGAUCGAAAAAUCCACUGAGUCACUCAUAAUUACCACCCAAUAUCAUAGGUUGAGUUCACAUUUUAAUUAUCAUGGAAACAAAUAUUUAUUUGGAAAAAUUUGUCCAAACAUUUUUCCAAACACAUUUCAAUUUCGAUUUUCCAAAAAUCUUAAAGAAAAAUCAUUUAUGGGCAAAGGCCCAAUUCAUUACUUUUUCAUGCUACAUGUAACAGCCCGUCCCUAAAAAUUAUGAUUUUUAUAAUUUUAAUAAGUGAGUUUACAAAAAUGCCCUUCGAGGCAAAGUGUUGACUUUUGUUGACUGUUGUGUCAUGUCACGUAAGGUUCAUUUUCUUGGCGUAUUUUAUUAGUACUCGUCGCUACGAACACGUGGGCGCAAACGGAACACAAUUUGGAGUUAUAAUGAAGGAGAUAUUAACGUUUAAAGUCAAGGGUAAAAUUGUAAAUUUCUAUUUUCUAGAAAACUCCAGAUUUAUAGAGUUUAAUCUAGUCAUGCCACGUGUGUGGCUGGGAUUGAAGCAAGGAAAGAUGGGCUGUGCGGAUGGGAAAUAAAGGAGGAAUAGGGGAAAGAAGUGGAGGAAUGAGGAGAGGAAAGAGAAAGGAACAGACCAACAAGAGAAGAGGGAAAUGAGGGAAAGGAGGGAGGAGAAAAAGGAGGGGAAUGGGUCGGGUUUCCCUUUGACCCGCGCGAUGACCCGGUUCCUUUAGUGUUUUUUGACGGUUUUCCGUCCAAAUUUCCGGCUUUCUUCAACCUUCUAUCACCACCCAACCUCAUCACAACAUCCUAGCACCUAAUUCUAACCAAAACCCGAUGAGAUUUGCUUUAAUUGUGCGGGGAAAACCACCCAUGGGUCUGAGAAUUUCUUAGUGUUGAUCCUCCAAUUGUGAAAUGUUUUCUUUGAAUUACCACUACCACUAGACUUCCCUUGAGGCCAGGAACAAAGCCCAAUCAACAUUGGGGGCGUCAAAGUUUGUUUUGGAGGUCGAAUCAAACACACCCUUUAUAGGGUUUCCGGCAGAUUUUCGUGAAAUUGGGGCUUUUCCCUGCAAAAUAGUCCUUAGUGCCGAUUGUUCGUGACGCCUCGAAGUUGUGCUAGGGAAUUGUAGCGUGGACUCCAGGUGAGUGGGCUUUUGGUUUCAGUAUAUAUAUAUGCUUGGUAUUUUUCCCAGAAAACUUAUUUAAAUGGUUGUAUGCUUUGAAAUGCCAUGCCAAAUGUUUUAUAUUUAGAAUAUGCAUUUAGUAGUUGCUUAUGUUAUUGUUGACACUGCAGACGCUUAGGUAAGUUCCAGGUGAGUUUAUAGAUUGUGGAUGUGAGUUAUAUGAUUAUUAUGAUUACCUUUGAUGCAUUUAGAGCUCAUAAACCUGCACCUCGGUGUUAGUGCUCUUGCUCAUGGCCAGGGCACAGUCAUUCACGUGAUGUUCACCUCUCGCACCGCACGCUCACCUUGGAUUCAAGGUUGGUGCACAGUCCUGUCGUACAGACCAUUAUAGGUGGUUUCGACUCGUAGGUGACCCGCGAUUAUUCGCAUAGUAUUCAUGUGAUCGUAGCACUUGAGCGUACUUAUUACACCUAAUCAUGUCGUACAGACCACAUUAGGAGGUUCCGACUUGUGUGCAUGCAUACUUGAUGAGCUAUAGAUUCAGCCGUACAGGCCACAAUAGGUGGAUCCGGUUGACAUUUCACUUUCAUUAAUUUACUUCACUUGGUUUACUUAUUCAUUAUGCUGAGAUAUUUGACAUGGCAUACAUGUGGAUUUUGGUUUUUCAAUUAUGGUUUUGAUAUACGUAUGUAUUAUUAUUUUCUGGGAAAUUAUAUGGGUUUUACAGUGAAGGGUUAUUAUUUAGAAAGAGAAAUGGUUUUGAAAAUCUUUGUUUUUGCCCAAUCACAUUUUCUGUUUUGCGCCCUUCCAGGUUCUAGUAGCAAAGUUUCUGUAUUAUCGAGGAUUCGUGGCAUAUCCCGGUACUGGUGGCUUCCUAUGAUGGUAUAAUCCUUAUCUUACCUUACUAUACUUUACUUAUGCUCUGACAUCACGUGUGAAAUGGGUCUAUACCCGUUCACCGUGCAUCGUGUACUUAGGCACUUUUAGGAUUAAAUUUAUUAACAUUUUCCACAUCAUCACACUUUUUGGCUUCGUCACCUUCCGGGCGUCGGCCAACACAUCUCGAUUCAGAGUCUUAGUGAACUUUCUGGAUCGGGAUGUGUCACUACAUCCAAAGACUGCAAAGCAAAAAAAAAAAAAAAAAAAAAAAACAAAAAAACAAAAAAGAAAAAAGGGUAAAGGCCCAAACAACCAUAUAGCAUCCAUGCAUAUAAUGGGCUCUUUGUUGGAUUUAAAUUAGAGUUUUACACAAUGAGCUCAUUAACUGGGUCUCAGUAAAUGUGGCCAAGUUAAAUCUAAGAGGGGUGGCAGCACUAAGCCCUUAAAAACCGGCCCUCUUAGACACCUCAGUUGUCUUCUUAAAGAUCCUUCCCUUGAAGAGGUGACUACUUAGUAAACCCCAGCCCAAUAUCUAAUUUUGUGCCCAACUAGACCAUGCGGGAUGAGCAUCCUAAAUAUGGAUCAUUUUCCUAAAUGCCAUGCUCAUAAGAAGCCUAAUAAAAUACACAAUUAUUCGUAAUUAAAUAAUUUAGAAUAAACAAUUAUAUAUUAAUUACAGAAGAUAAUCACUUAGAUAAUCAAUUCAAAUUAAUUAAGAAGAUAAUCAAUUCUAAAUAAUUAAUAAAGAAAUAACCACUUAGAAAAUUAAUUCACAUUAAUUAAUGAGAUAAUAGUCUCUUAAUAAUUCUAAUUCUAAUUUGAUAAUCAUGAUAAUAUGAAAAUCAAAUCACCUAAUUAUAAUUAAUGCCAAUAAAAUAAUAUUCUACAAAAGAAUAUUUUUCUUUCCAUUUAAAUGCUUUAACAUCAGAACGAGCAAUUAAAAUGAAAUAAUAUCUCGUAUAAAAUACUCAAUCAAGACGAGUAAUUUAAACUUACAUAAUAUCCCAAAAUCGUGGAAAUGAUCUUCCUUCAAGAAAUCUGUAAAUUCCAAAUUUCUAAUUUAAUGAGGACAAUUUCCCAAGACCAUAUCACACUCGAUAUGCAUCCGUUUUGAAGCGUAUUUUAUUUCACUGGAAAGGCCAUAUUACGAGCUACAACUUCUGUUUCUGGAACAAAUUCCAAAAACUGACACUAAUAACACGACAAAGGGCUCACGAAUCUGGAAAUAAAAUCACGUUAUUUCUCACAAAUUUUCUGCAGAAAUCCUAGAUUUCAGACAAGCAAAGGCAUGUUUGCGAUGCCAUAUCUUCUUUAAUACCCGUCCAAAUGACGUAUAUUUUAUAUGGUUUUGAAGCAGAUGGCAAUCUACAAAGCCCAAGCAAAACAAUACAGAAAAGUCAAAUACACGUACCCUAAAUUCAACCUCCAAAAUAGUUGAAAAACAGAAAUUUUCAAGAAAUCACAAAACUAGGGUUUGUGAGUUCUCUCAAACCGUGACACAUGUUUGCACGAAAUUUUGAGGGAAUGAAUCUGACACAUAGGAGAACGUAUUUCUAAAAAUAAAUCCUCAAAAAACGUGACAAAUCAAAACGUGAUUUUUUCGGGUUUAUUCAACCAUGGUGGAUAUCAUGCUUUUCACAAGGCGAGGAACGAGCCCUAUGGCUCUGAUACCACUGUUGCGAAUGUAGGCAAAUAUUACAAAGAAUUCGAUAUAGGAUAUACCUAGCAGAAUUGACGAAUUCUAAUUCUCAGUCUCGUUCCUACAAACCGUUGCAUAAGCCACGAAAGAGAGUGUCACCCAAUGGAGGAUUUGGUUGCAUCUAGUCUAGUUAGAUUGCCCACGUACCUUGUGCCAAUGCACAAGGUUCAAACCAUUGUAUUUCUUAGUAGCCUCCUAAUCCUAGGGCCAAUGUGAUACCUUAGAGGCUAAACUAUGAGAGAAAAAGAGUAUUGAGUGUGGAGAGCAUUUCUCUCCUCUCUAGAGUUAAGAGAAUUGUUUUUCUUGGUGUGUUUUCUCCUUUCCCCAAACCCCUCUUUAUAUGGUGGCUAGGGGGGGAAGAGAAAAGGUAAUAGUCAAUGUGGGACAAAUAGCACAUAUCAAUAAAGCACCUCAUGUUGAGUGGAUUAAUAUUCUCUUUAAGCUACUAGAAAAAACUAUUUGCGUGACAGAUUUGUGCAAUGAAGGAGUCGACGUCGUGCAAGGGUGUUUCGCAUGACGAAAUUAAGGCGCCGCGCAAAUUCAUGACACUAAAAUUAAAGUACCAAAAAAUUUGUGCGAUGCAAAGUUUCGUCGCACAAAAGGGCAUUGCACGAUGAAGAAAGGACACUGUCAUACAAAGUUUGGAAGAAAACCACAGGUAAGCCCUUAAUUGGCACUAAACAAAUGCACAAUAAAACAUUUACAGCAAAAAUCUUGAGCGGCAAGGCUUCGUCAAGCAAGGAGUCAACAUUUAUGCCAAACAGUUAGUUUUUGAGUUGGAGAAAUCAAUGCUAUAACUGUAGGGUUCUACACAACGAAGGCUUCGUCAUGCCAGGUCCCUAAGUUUCCUUUAAAUUUAAAAUUUCGCUCUCCCUAUUCCUCACAAUUCAUUUCGUGUGACAACCCAUCCCUAAUUUUAUGAUUUUAUAAAUUCUAAAAGUGUGAGUUGACCAAAAUGCCCUUAGAAGAGAGAUUGUUGACUUUCUUUGAUCAACAUUUCGUGAUGUGUACGAGCUUCUAUUUUACCAUAUUCUUGAAGUACUCGGCCGUACGAACGCAUAGGCACAAGCGGAAUCGAAGUUGGAGCUACGAUAAAGAUUUUACGAAACUACGAAGUAGAAUGGCAUUUUAGUAAAUUCAUUAUUUCAAACAUUCACCCUUAUUAUUUUAUUAUUUUCUUAUGGGACAUCUGUGUCCAUGGAACCCACCCAUGUGGGCAUCUUUUCCUCUUUGUCCCUGUGUCCUCUCCUUUUCUCUCUCCCGAACAUCUCUCUUUUCACCAACUCCACCUAUCCUAUGUCCCCCCAUUCUCUUAGACCUCUUAUUUCUUGCCACCUCACAUCUCUCAAACUCUCAAACUCUCAAACUCUCAACUCUCUUUCUUCUUCCUCAGCAAACACCGAGAGGGUGCAAUCACCUCUACCACCACCACUCGUCGUCUCCGGCGAGCCAAACCUUCAAGUCACCACCAAAUCUCUCCACAUCGGUGAAGGUUAUCAACGUUCCAGCCUAAAACUAGAACUAAGGUUACGAACUCGAACCCUAGAACUCGACCUCCAUAUUUUUCGACAAGGACCUCUCGGAAUUUAGUGUGGGAAGCAACACAGGAGGAAGUUCUCCAGUUUUCUUGCAAGAGAUCUGGCCAUUUCGAACCGUUUUUCGGCCAAUUUCGGCAAGACAAGACCCCAUGUUGGUGCGAUUAUUAUCGGUGACCCCAACUUUUUUAGUUUGAGUGGCUGUGACCUUGCAAAUAUCUGUUUUAGUGCUGAGCUUUCUUGUCGACAAUGAUUCUUGGCAAAUCUCGGUAUAGAUGGCUACCUUUGAUGGUAUAAUUCUUAUCCUACCUUACUGUACUUUACUUAUGCUCUGACAUCACGUGUGAAAUUGGUUCAUUCCUGCUCACAAACGCACUCUUAUAUUUGGGCACUUUUAGGUUUAAAUUUAUUCACAUUUUCCACAUCACUACACUUUAUGGCUUCGUCACCCUCUGGGUGUCGGCCAUCACAGCUCGAUUCAGAGUUCAAGUAGACAUUCUGGGUCGGGGUGUGUCAUUUCGUAAACACUUUACUUUUUUCUGGAUUAUUAUUCCAAUUGUUGUUUGAAUUUCAGUACGAUGGCCGACUCUAGUGCUUUCGUCAAAGAGAAUUGAGGGCAAAGGUUCUAGAAAAGGUAAUAUGUACUAAAUUUGGUGUGUGGUAUAAAUUAUAUAUUUAGCUUGACUAUUUAAAAUUUAUAUUUUGUUAGUAGACAAGAAAAAGAAGAGAGUUGCGCCUCGAGUUUGAUACACUUUUGGUGGGAGAUGAUACCGAAUCACGUAUAAAGAAUUAAAGGGAUUUGGUGUGUCGGAGAUGCCCUCCAGGUUUAGGUGCAAAAUUGGGGCAUUAGUGCAUACCAAAUGUUAUGUGGAGUGGAAGUCUUGGAGAGACUUGCCCGAGGAGUUCAAGACGCACUUGAUUGAUGAGUUAGCUAUACGUGUUAAUUAGUUAAAUAAUAAUUAUAUUCCAUAAAUAAUAUAUUAGAUUGAUUUAUAAUUUAUUAUUUUUUGCAUUACAGCUUAAUUGGGACAUUACAAAACUGACCCAAAUAUGAUGAAGUGCAUCGACAACAUAUCCAAGUUGUCUUUCUGGCGUGGAAGUUUGAUGCUUAACGUGAGGCAAAACUGCUGUGAAUACCUGAACCACCAACGGUGGGGUAGAUUUUUUGUUGUUGUUGUUGUUGUUUUAUUUUUUAUUUUUUUUUAAAUUUUAAAUUUUUAAAUUUUAUGGUUAAUUGAAUAAUGACAUUUGACUUUUAAGUUUAUUUUGUAUGAACGGUACUUUUAAAUAUGUCUUUAAUGUUUUUGUUGGAUGCAAUGGUAUUGUGAUAAAUGUUUAUGUUAAUUAAAUAUGUAUGAAUGCUUUAGUUAAAUAAUUUCUUGAUUAUUUGGGUGUUGUUUUAUUAAUGUUUUUAUUAAAUAUUUAUGUGGUUAAAAAUAAAUUAAAGAAUGAAAAAUAAAUAUUAAUUAAUAAGAAAAAUAAAUAAAUGUUGCGGGAUGAAGCUUCGUCUCACAAAGGUAAUUUUGUGCGUAGCGCACACUAGGUUGAUAAACACGGCAAAAAUGCGAGGGAAUUGGCGCCAAAAGUGUCGAAGGCAGAGGUUUUGCAUGACGAUACCUUCAUCGUGCAAAUUGUGAUGAACUUUAUUACCACAAACCAAAAUGCAAGGAGGUAGAAACUGCAAAACAAUUGCAGCAACUGCCUCGCUCCUAAUAAUUCCUGACUACUCUUAAACGUCUUGUCAAUCUCAGCAGGAAAAUCACUUCCACCUGUCUAACUUUACGAGUUUGGAGGUAUAUUUUCUUAAAUAAUUUAAUUUCCAUUCAUUUAACUUGUUUAGUUUGUAUUUUAGAUUUUUUGUGAUUUUCUUUAUUUGUAUGCAAAUAGUUUUGUACAGGAUGUACAAAAAAUGUUUUGUAGUGUUCGUAAAAGCUCAACUUCUCAUUUGAGAAUUAGUUGGAUUUCGCAUAUGGAUGCAAAAGCAUGAAUGUAGUCCAAUUAAUUCUUGAAUUGUCCCACAAUUUUGGACAGUUUGAGAUUGCACAGUUAGAUGUCGUAGUUUGCGGUUCACGAAUUAGAGUGAUCCUAGAAAAUUUGGUAGCAACUCUUUGCAUUCUUCGAGUGCAUCAUAGGUAUUUUGUAUCUACGUCAUGCACUUAAAGAACUGCAGGGAUAUACUACCAAAAGUUUCCCACUACUGAACUCUAAUGUGUUGGAGCCUUAAAUUACGACAUGAAACUGUGUAUUCUCGAAUGAGAGAGGGCCUUGUAAUAAUUGAAGUUGUUGUAACCCUUGUAAUUUUAUUAUGUUUGCAGGCGACAUGGACAAACAGGGAUAAAGAAUCCUAAAAGAUGUGCUGAUGAAUACAUAGAUGAAAUAAACCGGUUCAUUGAUUUUGCAAUUGCAAACAACUGUGGUUCAACUCAAAUUCAGUGUCUUUAUAAGAACUGUAACAACUCAAUGAUUGGAUAUUUUGAAACUGUUCAAUACCAUUUAGUAAGAAAUAUGAUGAUGGAGACCUAUACUACGUGGAAUCAUUAUGGAGAACAAAUACAACAUGCUUCAUCUUCACACAUGACCUGAUCAGUGGAGACAAUUGAAUCUAAUGUGGAUAAAAAAAAAACAAAUUAUGGACAUUAUAAAUGAUAUUUUUCCAAACGCCUUUACAAAUACCAAUCAGGAAGUGGAAGUUGGUGUCCUUCCCACCAAGGAUAGUGAAGCAUUUGAAAAAUAUGAAAAACUAUUAAAAAAUACCAGGCAAGAAUUAUACACCGGUUGCAAAGGGUUUUCGGUGCUCAAUGCUAUUGUUGAGUUGAUGCAUGGCAAAAUAAAGUUUCGUAUAUCAAACCAGUGCUUUAAUUACUUUUUGGGAGUUUUCAAGAGGAUGUUUCCAAAGGAUAAUUGCCUGCCUAAAGAUUAUAAAAGUGCAAAGAAAGUGUUGAAUGGUCUUGGAUUGCGCUAUGCAAAAAUUCACGCAUGCAAAAAUAAUUGUAUUUUGUUCUAUAAGGAGAAUAAAGCGUGGAUAAAUGCCUUAUAUAAAAUGGUCACGGUUUAAAAUGACAUCUCAUAAUAGAACGACGAAGAUUCCAUGAAAAAGUUAUGCGAUAUCUCCCAUUAAAGCCUAGGUUGCAGAGAUUGUAUAUUUCAACGCACACUACUAGUGACAUAAGAUGACAUAAGGACAGACAAGUGGAUGACGAUGUUAUGAGACAUCCUGCAGAUGGAGAGGCGUGGAAAGAGUUUGACUAGAUGUACCCUGAUUUGCGUGAGAACUGCGGAACAUCAGAUUGGGACUUGCUAAAGACAUGUUUAAUCCGUUCGGGUUUCUAAACCAAAACUUCGCUAAUCCUCGCAAUUUCGUAUAAUUUGCUGCUUUGAAAGUGCAUGAAGAAAUAAUAUAUGAUGAUGACUGAUGAGUCAAAUUUCAUAUUAUAUACUUUACCCUAUUCUUAGCAUGUUUUAGUAAUUAUUUUGGUAGAAUUUUGAUACUUUGCUUUAAGGCUCGUUUGGUUGUGCUUUUUAAAUGACUAAAGCGUUUUUAGUGAAAAUGUUUUUGGGUUCUAAAAGCACUUUAAGUGCUUUUUUUUUAGGAUUUAUUAGAAUUUUUACUAAGGAUUGUUUCCAAAAAUAUUUUCACUAAAAGCGCUUUAAGUCAUUUUUAAAAGCACAUCCAAAUGAGCUCUUAUAUUUAAUAUAGAACAUUCGACUUCCUCUAGAGAAAAAUAUGAUCAAACAGACGAACUUUGAAGUGAUUCAACUUGGAGGACGUUCAUGUAUCCCUUGGCGUGGAAAGUGACAUUUUUUGGCUUAAUUGCAAUUUUUGGAGCCUGAGAUGACCUCUGAUGGGUUCGUGGCCUUCUGGAGAAGUGUUAAAAAGAUGGUUGUGUAGAUUUUGGGCGAAUUUUACUAUUUAAUUUAGAAUUAUGUUUCCUAUUUUAUUUUAAUUUAUUUGGUUUCCUAGUCUUAUUGGAAGACCUUUUUUCUAAGAGAAUUGAAUGAUAGCAAUUUAAAUAAGCUUGGCCUGCCCUAUAUUGCUCUUAUUCUCUAUGGGAUAUCUGGGAGAGGAAAUUGGCCAAGCUUAGGGAUUUUCAGACUUUUACAUUCAAGGUGUUUUCAAUCUUUUAUUAUUUCAAUACAAUUCCUUUUGAUUGUAAUUAUGAAUAUGCAUAACUAAUCUCUUUUGAUAGUGUGAGGCCACAAGUCUUAGCAAAAAUAUGUAGUUUCUUUUGAAUUUGCUUAUGAUAAUAUGCAUGUAGGUUUUUGAAUUAUUAAUCACCGGUUUAAACUAUCUAAAUGUCUUGAUGAUUCGCAACUAUUAGGAUGUUUAGAAAAGUAAUUUGGUGCAAUUUUGGUCUGAGGUCGGUCCCUAAAAUUGACGAAGGCUUCCUAUCGUUAAUAUGUGCAAGUUCACUUAGGAUGAAUAUCACGUCUUAAAGGUUGCAUGGUUUUUCAAAGGGUUUUCACAAAACGUAAUGAGUUAUGCAAGUUUAGAUUUGAUCUGAAUACCACAAAUGGAUUGCAUGUUUGAUAUACGCUCUAUAUUGAUGGUCCAAGUAGGCAUAUAUAAGGAAAACCUAACCUUCAAAAUAUGCAUUUAUAGAUCAUAAGUAAUUGGAAGAAUUGUACAAGAUUGUUAAGGUAACAACGAAACCCUAGUGCUUUCUCAAUUUGAUUUAUAAAAACCGCCACUUUCUCCUUUUCUUGAAUAUUGCAUAUUUUUCUACUUUUUAAUUAAAUUCAUUUUUAUUUCAUUAGGUCACAAAAUCAAUCAUUCCAAAACUUUGCCAUUAAGUAAUUAAUUGAGAUUUCAUUUGAUAUGAACUAUUUAAUAAUCGUUGUGGAGAACGACCUUGUUAGAACCAUUUAUACUACAAUAUCUUUUUUGUGCGUGUGGUAAAAAUCCUAUCAAUGACUAUAUUGAUAACCGAAGAUUUGGGCAGGUCUAUUGAUGUUUAUUUACAAUCCUUGAAUGAACAACUAAAAGAUUUAUGGGAAAACGGUGCUCAUACGCACGUUAAGUCUACCAGAAAGAUGUUCACCUUGCGAGUAGCAGUGAUGUGGACUUUAAAUGAUUUUUCCGCCUAUGCUAUGAUGUUCGGGUGGAGUACUAGGUAGGCGCAAUUUGCAAGGAAGACAUAACGUCUGCUUGGUACUCGGAGAAAGUUUGUUACCUAAGGCAUCAUAGAUAGUUGUCGUGAGACCACGAGUGGCGUCAUAACGAUAAAGUCUUCUUUAACGGAAUAGAGAUUCACCUAGGACCAAGAGAAUGGUCCAGAUAGAGCCGGCUUUGGGGGAAUGCGACCGGUUCUAUGGCACAGGGCCCCCAAAAUAUUUUUUUAUUGAAUAUAAUAAUAUAUAUAAAAUAAUAUUAUAUACAAAUACUAAUCAAAUCAAAAUAUAUACAUAUAAAAAUCCAAUGGGCCAAGACUACUACCUAAAAGCCAUGUCAGACUACUACCUAAUUUUGGGGCCCCCAAAAAUAUAUAUUUUUAUUGAAUAUAAUAAUAUAUAUAAAAUAAUAUUAUAUAUAAAUAAUAUAUAUAAAUACUAAUCAAAUCAAAAUAUGUACAUAUAAAAAUCCAAUGGGCCAAGACUACUACCUAAAAGCCAUGUCAGACUACUACCUAAAGCUAAAAGCCAUCACCCAUCAGACUUAGACUACUAAGCCAUCACCCAUGACCCAUCAGACUUAGACUACUACCUACGGCUACAACCUAUACGAAAAUAUAUAAAAUAAUAAUUAAUAAAAGACAAACCGGCAAAGUUAAUCAAUUAAAGUGGAAAACCCAUUGACCGAGGCAAAAUUCAGAUACACUAUCUCACGCCAAAAUCCCAACGCUGCAUAAAUGCGUUCCACUUUUCUUCUUUUCACACCAGAGUACCAGAGCACCGAAGUCAAAAUCUCAGACGCUGUGCCUGCCAGUGUUCCGGACUCCCAGUGUAAUUCCCUUCUCUCUUUGUUCCACUGUUAUAUUUCCCACAAAUUAUUAAACCCUAAUUUAUAAAUUUAUGAAAUUAAAGAGAAACUUUCAAAUUAUCAGAGUGAUGUAGACUUCGAUCAAAGUAAGAUAUUUACUAAUUUAAGUAUAUUGACUCGAAAUUUGAAGAUUUGGGUAUUUCUCAUCUAUAAUGAUUUUAUUUUUAUUUUUGUACUUUUCAAGGAAAACUCAAGAGAAGAGCAAUCACAAAAAAUCAUUAGACGCACACGUAUUACAGAUUAUCAGGUUUCAUUGUUCAUACUUAUUAUAAUUUUUUUGUGAUCUUGUUUGAGAUAUAAAAGAUGGCGCCUACUAGAAAAUAUCCAUCUGGCUACUUGAAGCGUCAAAGAAAAAGAAAAGUUGAACAAUCCAUUCAGUCUCAAAAAGGAGCUAUUGAUAGGUUCUUUUUGAAAGAAAAAGAACCACAAAGUUCAGUGGAUGAUUUGAUUAUGAAGAUUUAAUUGAUGAUUUUGCAACAAAGAAUGCACGAAGAGCCAUCUUUAAGUGAAGCUUCAGUUCUAGACUUUUUAAAGUUUUGUUUAUUUCCAUAUUGCUUUUUAGCAUCAAUACAUUGUUCAAUUUUUUUAAGAUGUCUUAUAAGAGGCCCCUUUUAUGAAUUUCCAACAGGACCCCUGAAAUCUCAGAGACAGCCCUGAGUUUAGAGAUAAUAUUUUGGGUUAGGUGAAUCGUUUAGAUUUUGCUCCAUUCGGCAAAUUGGUGUAUAGGACCAAACUAGACACACAUCUGAACUAAAUACACAGGACAUUGUUGUUUGAGCUCCCAUACUAGUCAAAAUUAAAAUUGAGAAACAACUUCAAUAUUAUGCAUGUUGAGAAGAUGUGUUUGAUAUAUUGGUUGGAACUCUACUAGACAUCGAGGGAAAAACAAAGGACACGAAAGAGGCUUGCAUCUUUUUGGGUGAAAUCAGAGAAGAGGAAAGAGCUUUUGCAGUUUAUAUCCUUUGUACAAUUUCUUGAUGGGCAUGCUUUAAAUAUCGCGCCGUUGAGCAAACUUGUACGGAGGCAAAUUUUCCGGCCUCAAGAGUCGUGAUUGUCAUAUAAUACUCCAACGCCUUCUCUCAGUUGGUAUUUGCCUUAUCCCCGAAGAUGCGGUGAAGCCGAUUAUGUUGUUGGCAAGAUUUUUUUUAAUUAUCUGCAAGAUCUUUGUGCAAGUCCGAUGUUAAACAAUUGUGUGAUGACAUUAUCGAAGUCCUACACAAGUUUGAAAAAUAUUUCCUCUAACUUUCUUCACAAGCAUGAUCCAAGUGUUGAUUCACUACUAAAGGAGGCAAAGUUAGUUGGACCCAUCAACUAUUUAUGUAUGUGUCUGGUAUAAAAGGUAUUUAAUGGCCACAAAUUGAUUAAAUUGUGACGUAUAUACUAUUUGAUUAAUUUGAAUCAUAAUUGUUUUUUUUAAUUUUUGUAGACUACUCGGUGAAUUAAAAAAGAGUACAAAACAAGAUGAAGGUCGAAUGAUCAAUUGUGGAGGCAUGAGUCAAAUUUGAGUCACUUACAUUUCGUGCAAUGUACCAACAAGAUGUUGAGACAACAUUCAAUCGACUGCAACAGAAUAAUGACGGUGGUGUGAGAAGGGAACAAAUUUAUGUUUUCACCCAAAUUGCACGACCCUUUGGCAAACCAAUCAGAGAUGAGUCAUUUAACCAAAGGGGUGUGGAGGUAGCACAUUGGUUUGUACUUAAAAAUUAUGAUGAGACAAUGACUUACUUGGAUGAGCAUGAAGAGUUGAUGAAGUGGGAACAUCCUUCACAUUUAUAUGCCUAGAACCACCAUGAAUGGUUUCCUCGUUGGUUUUGCGACAAUGUAAGUUGUUUGUGUUUAGGUGAAUAAAUUGAAUUUGCUCGCUUAUACUGAAGAAUUAUACAACUUGGCUAUCAGGCCCUUAAACGCAGAAUUGUACUCUGGUUGUCAUGUAGACAACAUCAAGUUUUUGGGGGCUAAUUGAAAUGAUAAGUUGUGUACUCAAAAUAGUGAGGUUCUUUUUUUGGGUGCAAACGAUAUUGUAGACAUUGAUUUGUAUGGAAAACUAACAAGUGUUGUGUAAUUGCUUCACAAAGACGACUAGCAAGUUAUCCUAUUUAAGCAUCACUGGUUUGAUACAAACCCACGUAGGAGUGGGGUGUUAAGUGAGACGAUGUUUAAGUAUUAGUGAACACUAACAAAUGUUGGUACAAAAUGACGACCCCUACGUUUUGGCAACAAUGGCCAAACAAAUUUUCUAUAUAGAUGACCCAAAGGGCGGGAGAUAUGGAAAGUUGUUUAGAAGAUUAAGCAUAGAAGGGUGUAUGAUAUUCUGGCUCGAGAUACGAUGACGAUGAGGGAGGCUUGAAACUUCAAUAGAAAUUGGUGCAGAAACACUAUGGCAUAUGACUAUUGUACAAGAACCGUAUCAGGUAGCUGGAGGUCCUAAAGUUGAAAUUUCGAUCAACCCAGUUACAAUUGACCUUAGGGAUCUGUUGCGAUACAAUGCACUAAAGCGUGCAAACGACAAUGUUGGUGUGCCUAUAGAUGAGAAGGAAUGAUAUUCUCAUCUGAAUCAGAUGAAAGUGACUAUUGAUAUUUUUUCUAGUUCAGAUAAGGAUUAAUGAAAACUUGUGAUAUAUUAUAUUUAUUGAAUAGUAUUUAUUUUGUAUACAAACAAAAUUUUAUUUAUUAAAUUUGUAUAAACUAAAGGAAAAAUAAAACAUUAUUUAAAAAAUCGCACGACGACGAACCAUAAUUCAUUGCGCAAAAGUGCAACGCCCAACAAUGUUUUAUACACAUUCGUUGCGCAAAUAUAUAAUAAUUCAAUUUUUUGGUGAAAAUUGGACUCACAUCAACGUUUUGUACACCUUCGUUGUGCUGACAUUUGAAAAUUUGAUUUUUUGGCAAAAAUUGGGCAUGUUUUAAUUGGCUCAUGUUUCAAUUAGGAUUAAAUUUUAAGGGAUGAUGCGCGAUGAAAUCUUCGUCGCGCAAGGUCUCCCUCUUUCAUUCCUAUAGACAACUUUUCUUUUUCAAAACACUCUCAUCUCUAUCUCGAUUCUCUAUGCGAAGCUUUCACUAUCUUAGUCAUUACCUCUCGAAGCUCUCACUCUCUUAGUCACUCACACUCUCCUUCUCUCGCUAUAUAUAUAUCUCUCUCUGCCUCUGUCUCUCUAUCACUUUCUCCAUCGCACUCAUCUCUCCGCCGCCGUCACCAUUGGGAAUCCAGGGAGGGUUGCAAAUUAGGAAUCCAAGGUUAGGAUUUUGAAUUGGGAAUCCAAGUUUAUAGUUUCUUUACAUGUUAGUUUACAGAGACUAGUAAAAUUAAUCCCAAAAUCCAGGGUUAUGUCUGAAACUGGAGGUCUGUGUGAAAUUGUAGGUUAAUUGUUAUAGAAUUUUAGUCAUGAGUUUAGGAAUGCUCCGUGUGCGACUGGAGGUUCAAUGUUUUGUUUUCCAACAAUUUAUAGGUUAAUGUUCCUAUUUGCAGUUUAUAGGUUUUUCAUUAUAUUAAUUAAUCAUUUGUUACCAAUUUUAAUUUUAUUGUUUAUGUCCAAUAUGUGAUACAUCUUGCAUGAAAAAUCUAGGUUUAACUUUUAUCCAAAUUAGUCUUGUUUGUACCAUACUUGACCAAUCUUGAAACUAUUGAGCACCGGUCAACGUUACCGUCAAGGACUCAGAAGAGUUUCCCUCCAACUAGGAGGCCAAUCACAGCGCGACACGUGUCGACAUUAGAAGCCAAUCAUAGUGUGACACGUGUCAACAUCAAAAGCCAAUCACAACACGACACGUGUCAAUGUCAGAAUGAAACUAGAAACUCUCUUCUAUAAAUAGAGAUCAUUCUCUCACAAUAUUUCCUAAUGUCAUUUGUACUAAAUCAUUCACCAGUACUCACAAAAGGAGAGCUUGAACCUAUGUACUUGUGUAAACCCUUCACAAUUAAUGAGAACUCCUCUACUCCGUGGACGUAGCCAAUCUAGGUGAACCACGUACAUUGUGUUUGCUUCCCUGUCUCUAUCCAUUUACAUACUUAUCGACACUAGUGACCGGAGCAAUAUAGCGAAGGUCAUAAACUUAACACUUUCUGUUGUACCAAAGUCCUCACUGAUUUUUUGCAUCAACAUUUGGCGCCAUCUGUGGGAACGACACUUAUUCCCAUUCUCUUCAGCGUUGCCAAGCUGGUUUCCACCAUUCGUACACUCUCUUUUGACCAAGCAUCCCUCUCCAACAUGGGAAGCGAAGGAAGCCACAGCACACAGAAUGACACCCUUCAUGCACCUAGUGCGAAGCAACGAAAGAAGGAAGGAAAAAGGGUUGCUUUUUAAGCUAAAGUCGAUGAGCUAGAAGCUCAGAACAACAAGAUAGCAAUGAAGAAUGAGGUCAUCCAGGAGUAGUAUGAGAAGCUCUUUAGGACGCUUCACGAAACUAGGCGUACUCAAACACGUGAGCUCGUUGCCCCUGUGGACAUCAACCAUCAUCUGGGUGCCCCCCAACACGGAGGGUCACCUCCCUUCGACAUGGGUAUCCCUGAUGAGGAGCGAGCAAAUCAUCAAAACAUUGAUUAACAUGAGACUUCUCUCAACCCAGAUGCUUCGACCCGAAGUAGAAGAAGUGGAGGAAGACACCUCAUUGCAGAAGGGUUGGAAGGAUAAAAAAUCGUUUAUCGUGACUGCUGAGACUUCCUAAAGCAACGUCGAGAGAAUCCCCUCCACAUAUGCUCGAAGAUCAAUGACCCAAGGGUUUCUGAAAGACUCGGUCCCCUGCCACGACCCAGGCCAGCUGUCAAUCUAGGGAAUGAACGACAGGUCCCAUAGGAACAUGAAGGUACAGGGGACUUUGAGGUAUUAUGACAGACUCGCCCUAGAAGUCAGUACGACGAGUCCAAGAAAAAACCACACGCCCUUGCUCAAACUUUCCUACUUCCAAGAGGCAAUGGAGACUUACAAAAGAAAAUUCGAAUGGUACAUGACUCCAUUCAGGACCCCCUUGUCCUACAGCUCUUUGAGGAAGUAAAUAAGUUAAAGGCCGAACGUUAGGCUGAGAUACCUGACUGGAACCAACCCAAGCCUGGCCCUCUCACAAGAAGGAUCCUCGACACCCCCUUCAAGCGACGACAAAACAAAAUCUUGGUUUACAACUCUAUACUGGAAGGGAGGACCCAAUUGAACACCUUAACCUCUUUGAGUCCACCAUGGCAUAUCGGAUGCACACCGACGAAGAGCGAUGUCUUCUUUUCCCCUCCACCCUCUCUGGCGGAGCUCUAAACUGGUAUUUCCAUCUUCCACCUGAGACAGUAGACUCAUUUGAGGAAUUGAGGAAACUGUUUGUCUCUCAACAUAUCUUCCAGACCGAUCACUUGCAUUCUACAGAUGACUUGUACAUUAUUCGCUAGAAGCCGGACGAGUCACUACGAGAGUAUGCCGAUCGCUUCAGCCAUGAGUAUUCUCGCUGCGCUGAGGUAGAUGACAAGACCGCUCUCAAGGACUUCACGGCAGGCCUACGUGAUUGUUUCUUCAAGUCCAUGAUCAAUGCCAACACUUGGAAGACUUACUCUGAGGUGAUGGCACAUGCUUACAACCACGCCUCCGCCGAACCAAGGAUAUACCAAGGGAACCCCCAUAUGGUUAACCCCUAUCAACAAAUGGGAAAUGGAAGUCAAGUUCUACCAAGUGAGGAGAUAUUAGCCAUUCAGACACCCAUUGCAUCAUCUCCUGCCUCAUUUAGCUAUUCGCUAAGUCACCAAACGUAUCUGUCUCUUGGUAAGAGGAAGAAUUUUUACUCUCAGCAAGCCCAUUACAACAAGAGGGAUAAAAGUUCGUAUCAAGACAACCAGGGGUGAAUGUACCGUCGACUAUUAUGACUAUGGGGCCAAGCCUCACUCUUUCAAAGUGGAGGACUAGGUAGUGAAGGAAAUGCUAUUAUAAGAAGGCAUACAUAUUACAAAUGUUUCGACUCUCAACCGCUUGAGAUCUUUUGUCACACAAUCCAUUCGGUAAAUAUUUAAAGAAAAGGGAAUUCAGACAACUUCUUCUGAGUCUUUUGUGUUCCUAGCACUGGAACACUUGGUCUACACUGACCUACCCUUAUACUCCAACUCAGAGCUUCAACAUGCGUACUUUGACAUAAAGUAUGUGAUACUGAGUGUUACAACCAACAUGGUUCACAUAUCAAAAGCAUGGAUCCCUUCAUGCAUAGCAAAACAUUCAUAAGCAUCACUCAUAUCAAUCAACAUAAACAUUAUACAUUCCAACACAAUCAUACACAAACAUCAUACAUUCCAACACAUUCAUACAUAAACAUCAUACAUUCCAACACAUCCAUACAUAAGCCAAUUGUGCUUCGAAAGGGUUCAACAUACUUUGUGUCUUCGACACUUGCUACAAUGUGCCUCGACACCUUGCCCUUAUUCUCACCAACCAAGUGAUGAAAUGUGAAGAAAGAACUCAUCUUCAUGCCACCAACCAGGUGAUGAAAUGUACAACCCAACUAGGUGAUGAAAUGUACAACCCGUACUCUAAUAUCAUUUGGCAACUUGCCACUUAUGCCACUAACCAGGUGAAGAAUGAACUCAUCUUCAUGCCACCAACCAGGUGAUGAAAUGUACAACCCGUACUCUAAUAUCAUUUGGAAACUUGCACUCAUGCCACCAACCAAGUGAAGAAGGAACUUAUCUUCGUGCCGCCAACCAGGUGAUGAAAUGUACAACCCCUACUCUCCUUCAUGCUAACAACCAGGUGAUGAAAUGUACAACUCGUACUCUAAUAUCAUUUGGCAACUUGCCACUCAUGCCACCAACCAGGUGAAGAAGGAACUCAUAUUCAUGCCGCCAACCAGGUGAUGAAAUGUACAACCCGUACUCUCCUUCAUGCCACCAACUAGGUGAUGAAAUGUAUAACCCGUACUCUAAUAUCAUUUGGCAACUUGCCAUUCAUGCCACAAACCAGGUGAUGAAAUGUACAACCCGUACUCUCCUUCAUGCCACCAACCAGGUGAAGAAGUAACUCAUUUUCAUGCCACCAACCAGAUGAUGAAAUGUACAACCCAUACUUUCCUUCAUGCCACCAACCAGGUGAUGAAAUGUACAACCCGUACUCUAAUAUCAUUUGGAAACUUGCCAUUCAUGCCACCAACCAGGGGAAGAAGGAACUCAUCCUCGUGCCACCAACCAGGUGAUGAAAUGUGAUGAAGGAACUCACCUUCGUACCACCAACCAAGUGAUGAAAGCAACUCACCAUUCAUUCCACCUACCAGAAGACAAGUGGUACAACUUGUACAUGUGAACUCCUAGCAUUCACAAAUAAUCAAAAACCCUCAAGCUUGACAACUCAACUAAGGGAGCACUUAUGCCCAACAAGAGUUAUAGUCACCAACAAAGUCUUAUUGCAAGCUAACAACAACUUCAAUGCAUGGCAUACGAAGAUCAAGCUUUUCAGCCCUCUUGCAUCUACUUCAAACAUUUCCCCUCUGUAACAAUGCAAACACUACAACUUGUAGAAAGCUUCACACAUUCUUGAUCAAGACAGUGUGAAACAAAACCAAUUUAUGGUGUCAACAAGAGCUUCAUCAAAGGAGUUCAACCACAAUUCUCAAAAGCUUCACACACUUUUGAUCAAGACAGUGUGAAGCAAAACCAAUUUAUGGUGCCAACAAGAGCUUCAUAAAUGGAGGGCAAACACAAUUCUCAAAAGCUUCACACACUUUUGAUCAAGAUAGUGUGAAGCAAAACCAAUUUAUGGUGCCAACAAGAGCUUCAUCAAAUAAGUUCAACCACAAUUCUCAAAAGCUUCACACACUCUUGAUCAAGAUAGUAUGAAGCAAAACCAAUUUAUGGUGCCAACAAGAGCUUCAUCAAUGGAGGGCAAUCACAAUUCUCAGAAGCUUUACACACUCUUGAUCAAGACAGUGUGAAGCAAAACCAAUUUAUGGUGCCAACAAGAGCUUCAUCAAAGGAGGGCAACCACAAUUCUCAAAAGCUUCACACACUCUUGAUCAAGACAGUGUGAAACAAAACCAAUUUAUGGUGCCAACAAAAGCUUCAUCAAAGGAGUUCAACCACAAUUCUCAAAAGCUUCACACACUCUUGAUCAAGACAGUGUGAAGCAAAACCAAUUGAUGGUGCCAACAAGAGCUUCAUCAAUGAAGGGCAAGCACAAUUCUCAAAAGCUUCACACACUCUUGAUCACGACAGUGUGAAGCAAAACCAAUUGAUGGUGCCAACAAGAGCUUCAUCAAAGGAUUCAACCACAAUUCUCAAAAGCUUCACACACUCUUGAUCAAGAUAGUGUGAAGCAAAACCAAUUUAUGGUGCCAACAAGAGCUUCAUCAAUGGAGGGCAACCACAAUUCUCAAAACUUUCACACACUCUUGAUCAAACCAGUGUGAAGCAAAACCAAUUUAUGGUGCGAACAAAAGUUUCAUCAAAUGAGUUCAACCACAAUUCUCAAAAGCUUCACACACUCUUGAUCAAGACAGUGUGAAGCAAAACCAAUUUAUGGUGCCAACAAAAGCUUCAUCAAUGGAGGGCAACUACAAUUCUUAAACAUUCGAAGCAAAUUCAAGACUGUUCGAAGUAAAUUCAAUUUAUAUGGUUCAUCCAAACCUUCGACUACUACAAGGUGUGGCUUGUAUCACAAUCUCUUGCUCAACAGUAUGGAAGCAAAAUUUGUAUAUGUUGUGUCUCCCACAUUUUCAAAUAUCUAGUUUCCCCCCUCCCAAAAAAAAAAAAAAGGGGAAAUUCAACAAAGCUUCCUUCAUCAAUGGAGGACAACUACAAAUUCUCAAAAGCUUCACACUAUCUUGAUCAUGAUAGUAUGAAGCAAAAUCAAUUCGCGGUACCCAACAAAGCUUCACCACAAAAGCUUCACCAACAAAAGCUUCACCAACAAAAGCUUCAUCAAUGGAGGACAACUUCAAAUUCUCAAAAGCAUCACACUAUCUUGAUCAAGAUAGUGUGAAGCAAAAUCAAUUCAUGGUACCCAACAAAAGCUUCACCCAUAAAAGCUUCACCAACAAAAGCUUCAACUCCAAAGCUUCACCAACAAAAGCUUCAUCAAUGGAGGACAACUACAAAUUUUCAAUAGCUUCCCACUAUCUUGAUCAAGAUAGUGUGAAGCAAAAUCAAUUCAUCGUACCCAACAAAGCUUCAACCUCAAAGCUUCACCUAUAAAACUUCAACACCAAAGCUUCACCUACAAAGCUUUAAAAAAUAUAUAUUUUUUUCUUUCGAAAAUUCGAAAAUUCUAAAAUUCGAAAAAUAAAAAUUUCGAAAAAAAAAAAUUGCCUAGGCCUCUUCUUUCUUGGGCCUAACAACUUUCAUAACAAAUAUAUAUGAAGAAGGAGUUUUGGGCUACCACUUAGAAAGAAAGUGCCUCAUUCGUCAACUCCCUCGACCGGAGACUUGGGGGACUCCUACUAUAUGCUACUGCACCUUGAUACUCGGAAGUCUCACGACCACUCAGUGACUUCGAUUUUUCAAGUCUCCAAACGAGAAGUUUUCCUCACUGGGGAAAUUAAGGGAGCACACCUUAACCUACAUGCUUCACUCACAAAACUUCAACAUACAAGAUUCAACAAAAGGAAAAAUUCAAAGAACUUAGUGAAAAAUGCCUUGGUGUAUUUAACACAAUACGUUGAAAUGAAGUAAAGCUUGUUUAUUGAUAUCUCCGAUAAGUUACAAAUAUGUACAUAUACAUGAAUCAAAAUAAACAAACAAGAUGGAGCCUUCACAAAGGUUGCUCAGGAGAAGUCUUAACAGUCGGCAGAGCCCCAGAAAGAGGAGGCACCAGAGGGUGAUUAUUCGGAGCCUCAGUACUAGGCAGAACCCCAGAAGGAGAAGGCACCGAAGUUUGAUCAUUUGGAGCUUCAUUAUGAAGGAUUUGUGAAAACAUGUUCAUUUGAAUAACAUCUAUAGCAUGCAUUUAACAAUUAAAAGGCGGAAUCAUGCUUGCAUGCAUUCAAAAACAAAACAUUACCCAUGAAAUUCAAAGCCUAGUAGAUUGGUGAACCAAGACUCAACACAAAUCAAAGUGAGUUUAGAAAUUUAUACCUUUGUAGAUUCCUCUUUUCAUAAGCAAAGGCUAAUCACCCAAAGAGAGGGCCUUCAUUCUUUGCUUCUUAGAUCCAUGGAUUUGGAUGGAAGAAUAUGGUUCUCCAAGUUCCCAAAAUUGAGAACCUCUAAGUGUCUACACCAAGGUUAGAUUGGAGAAGAAAUGAGUGACCUUGGAGGAGUGGGAUUGCUAGCUAAUCCCUCCAAGGAGGCCGGCCUCUUUAGAGAGAAAGGAGAGCUUUGUGUUCUCUCCAAUUUCCUAAAAGAAACCCUUUUUGAAUUUUAGGCUAUAAAGUUCUUUAUAUAGUCACUUCUUUAAAUGACCUAAAGAACCAAAAACCCUAAUUCAACACACAUGGCCGGCCACAUAAGGGAUUUGGGCUUUUGGGCCCUUGUGAAUCUUUAUUCAUUAAGUUGUCAUACAACUUAAGUCCAUGGGCUUUGACGUUCGAAGCCCAUUGGGCCUUAAGGUCCAAAACUAUCCCGAGGUCUUUAACGAACUUAUUCGUUUGAUUAAUUAACAUAUUAAUUAAUCCUUGCCAUAAAUAAUUAAACCAUUUAAUUAUUCUUACUCAUCUCCGUUGUUUCUUCAAUCUCUACCUUACACGGUGUACGAUCCAUUAGGUUCCUUUUAGCGAGGCAGUUGGCGAUUAAAACUCUUUCAAAUCGAUUGUGAAUUGAAACUUACUUUCAAUUCUCCCUUUAGUGUUUAUACACGUUUAGGGCUUCCACAAACCAAGAGUGACACCUAGCAGCAUAUCAUGGUUACUCAAGCUAAUCAGAAGAGGUAGAGAACCUAUUCAGUUUAGGAUUGCAAAUGCAAUACGGUCUUUCUCUAAUACAAUACUCUUGACCACAUUGUUUGGUUUGAUAGUUUAUUCAUGUCUACUAUCCAAUGUGAUUCGUGUGCUUAUAUGAGUACCUUGAAUGUGAUUUGGAACGACUUCCUAAAUCUCAUUCAUACUCUGGCCAAAGAUUCUUAAUCAUAUCAUAGAAUAUUCUCCCUCAAACAGUUUGAAGGUUAGAGAUCCCUUGUUGCGCAUUCACUUGCCUCCAUGGCUAAGUGGCUUAACCCCAACUAUGCCGUGGACACCCAUUUUGGAGUGACUUUUGACAUAAUCAAAACAUCAAGGACUUAAGCACAAGAUAACUAUGAUGCCUCAGGUCAAAGGACGACUUUGCAUUAUCCCAACCAUGAGUUCUCAUGUGACAUGAAUAUGAGAACUCUUCGUUGAUCGUGUUUAGUAAACUCAUUCUCUAUUGAGCACCUACGUACUUGUCUUGAUGUCACACACACCAAUGACUCGAGACUAGUCACUCUCCCUGAGAGAAGACACAGCACGUACUGAUCUUAACGGACUGUCAAUGCCCAAUUGACAAUCCUAUGAUCAGGAACGUUUAGGAUAUGUAUACGAAAGAAUGGUCUCAUGAAUCUAACUUCUUUAGAUUGCAUUCUCCCAAUCACAUAUUCCUUGGACUUAUCGUUUAAGCAUAUAACAUUUAUAUGAGACGGCUUAAAGCAAUAAUCUUUGCCCUUUAUAUUUAAACUAGAUUAGUUAACAUGUGAAAUGUCCGUAAAGUAUCAUCAUAUGAUUGGUUUUAGGGCACAUUUCCAACACAUUACGCGGUACAGCCCCAGAAGACGAAGGCAAUAAAUGCCUUUGGAACAAACCCACAAACCUCUGAUGAUCAAGUAAAAUCUGACCAUCAGAUUCCUGCAGCUGGUGGAGCUUCCUCUUCAUGUUUGUAGCAUAGUCAUGUGCGAGCCUAUGCAACUGUUUAUUCUCAUGCUUGAGCCCUCUGAUCUCCUGUUUGAGACUUAUCACUUCAGCCGCCAAUGAUUCAACUUGGCGGGUUCGAGCAAAUAGGCGUUGGGCCAUAUUAGACACAAAACCUGCACACUGAACACUGAGAGCCAAAGAACCCUUAACAGCCAACUCAUCAGACCGUUUGGAAAGUAGCCUGUUAUCUGUGGGAGUGAGAAGGUUCCUGGCUACCACCGCAGCGGUCAUAUCAUUCUUCAUCACAUAAUCCCCAACGGUAAGAGGACUAGUAGGGGAUAAGAAGGAUGGGCGCCAUAUGUUGUCUUCAGAAGGCAUGGUUGCUUUUUCACCAAAGUUCAAGUCAAAACGAGGGUCGGAUGAGCUAGACAUUCUCAGAAAUGAUGAAGGAGAAAUGAGGUGCAAUAAAUCUCUGAAUUAAAGGGAAAAUUCCUACAAGCAAUAACUCUCUGAAUGUACUUCUUGCACAUAAUUGGUGCCCUUAUAAAAGAAAGGGCAACAGGGCCGUUGGUUCAAAAAUUGAAGAGGUACCACCCUUCGGAUUCUGAAGAGGCACCACUUUCCACACGCAACAUCAGCUCAUCGGGUACCAUAGAUAACUUUGCCAAAGAUUUUUGACAAAGUUUAGACAUAUAAAUUUUGAAGGUCCAGCUACCUUACUAUUACCCACAAGGGUAAAGGAACAACACCACUGCUUGAUAACUAGAAAGUCCCAAUGUGUGUCAACCUCCGUGCUCUGUGGCAAGGCAAACUGGCAAAAAUGCCCAACCUUUACUCACAUUCGAGAAAACACUCCCAACAAGAUUGCUUGCUUAAAAAUUGAAAAGGCACCGCCCUCCGAAUCUCGAGAGCCAGACUCCCAACAGGAUUACUUUCUCAAAAAUCGAAGAGACACUGCUAUCCGAAUCUCAAGAGUCAGACUCCCAACAGGAUUGCUUUUUCAAAAAUCGAAGAGGCACCACUCCCCGAAUCUCGAGAGCCAGACUCCUAACAUGAUUACGUGCUCAAAAAUCGAAGAGGCACCGCACUCCGAAUCUCGGAAGCCAGACUCCCAACAGGAUUACAUUCUCAAAAUCGAAGAGACACUGCUCUUCGAAUCUCAAGAGUCAGACUCCCAACAGGAUUGCUUUCUCAAAAAUUGAAGAGGCAUCGUUCUCUGAAUCUCGAGAGCCAGAUCCCCGACAGGAAUACUUGUUCGAAAACCGAAGAGGCACCGCUCUUCGAACUUUGAAAGCCAGAUUUCUUGGAUAAAGCUUGUUUGCAAUCUUCACACGCAACAUCAGCUUUCCAGAUACCACAUACCACUUUUUCAAAGUGUUCUGACAAAGUUAAAACACGUGAAGCUUGCAGCUCCCACUACAUUGCUAUGACCAAGAAGGGUAUUGCUAUGACCAAGAAGGGUAUUGCUAUGACCAAGAAGGGUAAAGGAAUAGCACUACCACUUGUUGUUAGGAAGACUCCUAUAUAUGUCGACUUCCAUCCUCCACAGCCAGGCAGACCUGCAAAUAAAAAAAAAUGCUCAACUGUUCUUCACAUCCGAGAGGGCACUCUUAGCAGAGUCUCUCGAAAUACUUAGCUUCUUUUCCUCCCGAUAAUACCUCUCUGCAAACAAGCCACACCAGAGCAAAAAUAUCUCAUAUCAUCAGGGUUAAAAGCAAGAGUAUCUCAUAUCAUGCUUUUUCCCUGUCUUUUCCUUUGGCCUUGUUCUUACCUGCAAGACAAGGAGAAAGAGAGCAAUCAGUCAGCACUUGGAAUCAAGCUUCCAGUCAGGAAUUGACUGCCUGGAACCCCUUGCCUGAUUACUUACCUGACAUUGCUCUCGAGUACUCAUCUUCAACAUCUUAUGCUUCUAAAGAAGAUACCACAUCUGCCUGAGGAACAGAUAAGGCAAGUGAGAAGGAUACAAGGAAGCAUGUGGAGACAAACGUAACAGAACACGUGCCGAUACAUCCACUACUUUGUCAACAGCAAAAGUAUCCCAUAUCAUCAUGGUCGAACGUACACUAGAUUUGAUGGACUUGUUUUAACCCUCAAAUUCUUGAGUCGGCCUUAUACUCUGGAGAAAACCAGAACCUCCAGCCCAGUUCAAGAAUAAGCCUGUGGAAAGUUACUUCUUCAAAAGCAAAAGUAUCUCAUAUCAUCUCUUCGCCAUUUGCUUCUCUUUAUCCUUGUUGCUGUUUACGACACAAGGAGAAUGAGAACAAUCAACCGGAAGCCGAAGUCGAACCUCCGAUCCAGGUUGCUUGCUUACCUUGUUUGUUACCUCAUUCGACAAAUCUCCUAGCUCGGCGACUUGGGGGACUCCACCUAUAGGGUUUGUAUCGCACUUGACCAAGCCUGAAACUACAAGUAAGCUUCAAGUGAAAUUGAUAUAUUACCUUGUGCAUCUUCAUCGGUUAAGGAUACCACCUCUAGAUGGAGGAAAAGUACUUCCAGAGAGGAUGCCACAUCUACAUAUGAGACAGAUAAGGCAAGUGAAAAUGAUACCACACUUUAGUACUUAGAAGUUUCAUGAUUACUCAAUAGCUUGGAUCUUGCAAGUCCCCAACCGAGGAGCUUCCCUAACUCAGGAACUUAGCGGAGCACUAUUUGUACCAUACCUGACCAAUCCUGAAACAACUGAGCACCGGUCAACGUUAUACCGUCAAGGACCCAAAAGAGUUUCCUUCCAACUAGAUGGCCAAUCAUAGUGCAACACGUGUCGACAUCAGAAGCCAAUCAUAGUGCGACACGUGUCAAUAUCAGAAGCCAAUCACAACACGACACGUGUCAAUGUCAGAAUGAAACUAGAAACUCUCUUCUAUAAAUAGAGAUCAUUCUCUCACAAUAUUUCCUAAUGUCAUUUGUACUAAAUCAUUCACUAGUACUCACAAAAGGAGAGUUUGAACCUAUGUACUUGUGUAAACCCUUCACACUUAAUGAGAACUCCUUGACCCUGUGGACGUAGCCAAUCUGGGUGAACCAUGUACAUCUUGUGUUUGCUUCCCUGUCUCUAUCCAUUUACAUACUUAUCCACACUAGUGACCGGAGCAAUCUAGCGAAGGUCAUAAACUUAACACUUUCUGUUGUACCAAAGUCCUCACUGAUUUUGUGCAUCAACAAGUCUCAACCUGUAUAGUGCACAUGAUUGUCAAACUUAAGUUUUUGUAAUUUAGCUUUUAUUGUUUUUGUAGAUGUCAAACUUAAUUUCAAACCGUUGAGCAGAUAGUAGGGUCACUCAGACACCUUCCCCACAAUUAGUGGUGCUGCCACCGCUCCACCAGAUUUGGACACAAUGGGUGUAUCUCGGAUCCCGCCUUUCGGUCCAGCAAUGUCUGAGGCUUAUGCAUCAUCAGCUUCUUCGGUGACAAAUCCUCUACUAAGCACCAAGCGAACUCAUCGACAGUCCGGGAGUUCUAAGGAAGCUGAGUAGUCUGUUGAGGCUUCUUCUGUCGAUAAAUGGGGGAUCCUAGACAGGUAAUACAUCUUUCUCCUAGUUUUUUUAAUUUAAAAUUUUGGAAUUGAGAUUAUAAUUGUUUUGAAGUUCCUAAUUGGUAUUAAGUGUUUGAAUUGCUGGUUGGAUGUGUUGUUUCUGUCGUUAUAUUGUUUGUAGGUUUUCGGAAAUGUUAUAGUUUUAAGGGAGGUGAAGGCCGAAUUUUUGGUAGAAAAUUAAGUUCGUCUGACAUUUACUUUGUGUAUUUUGUAGUUAAAACAAACACCAGAGGCCAUGCAGACUUUUGAAGACCGCAAAGACCACUCACACCAGGACGGAGAAGAUCACAAUUAUGUGGGAUCCUCGAUAUUGUGUGGCUGCAACAAAGGAGCAUCACAGUGCAUUGGCUAACAACAUUGGUUGCAUUAUCAAGAGUCAUUGCCCGCUCAUGUGGGAGUUCUGGAGAGUCGUCUCGACUGACGUCAAGACCGCCGCUCUUCAUGAAAUAUUGGUAAGUAUUGCCAACCUCAAAUACUAAUUUCUUAUUAAAGUAUACAAAUAUUAUAAAUUUUUAACUACUUUAUAAUUUUUAAGUUUUGCAGCAUCUCUAUGAUCUCACGAACCUCGAUGCCAAUAAAAAAAGGUACAUCCAUGAGAUUUGCAUUGGCCGGUUCACUCAGUGGUAUGAUAGUACGAUGGUCCGGAGGUUGCUCUAGCAGUUGGGUGCCUUAAGGGGAUAGAGAACCGCCGGGAUGAAUGGGAGUGGCUUUACGGCCAUUUUCAAGACAAAAAAUACCUCGUAAGUAAUAUUUUAUAUUUUUAUAAUCUUUCAAUAAUAUUUAAUUUUUUUCAUUAAUUUGUCAUAAAUAUCAAAACUAAUAUUUUUUUUUUAAAUAACAGAAAAAAGUGAAGACAAAUUCGAUCAAUCGGUCGAAGAAAAAAAAAUUUCACUGCUUUAGCUCGCAACGCUUCUUUUAUAGGUUGAAUGAGCGACGUUAGGUAACCGUAUAGUUAUUUUUAUUUUUAAAUUUUUUUACUCUCCACUACACAAUUGAUAACCUAUGUGUUAAUAUUUUUGUUAUUCAAAGGGGGUCGAAGUUUCCUGAGAUUGACAUGUUUAAUGAGGUAUAGGUUUGGCCCAACAAUAUGCUGGCGAAGCAGCUCCAUGUAAGUUAUUUCAAAUCUUUAAUAUUUAAUUAGUAUUAUUAUUAUUAGGGAAAUUUUAUUUAAACCCAUUUAACCUCUUUUUACACCCAACUUAAAUUUUAAAUGUUAAUUGUCUAUUUUACCAUAUUGCAUAAUUACUAUUGAGUACAAAAUGAAAUUAAUAAUAAAACUCAAAUUUAUCAAUAAACCCAAACACAAUAAAUAAACCCUACGAUCACUCUUUGUUUGUCCUACGUUCAUUAUGACUAAAACCCUAAUAACUCUUAUAGAGAAAAAUAAGUUUUUUUUAUUGAUGGAUUGUGAUUUUGAAGUUUUGAAUCCUCCAACCAAGGUAUAACUUAAUUUAUGAUUUUUUUUUUCUCUCCGAUCGCAUUAUUAACCACCUCUCUAAUUCGAGUUUUCCUUUCUCACGGUACUGAUAAGAGCGAAUUAAUCCGCUCAUAUAUCACCCAAGUCUACGGUAUAUAAUAUAGCAGCACUCCUUAAAUUAUUAAAAAUUUAAUCAGAACAAGGCUGCAAUUGCAAUAUGAUAUGAUGGAUUACCAAAGUCAAUGGAUGAGCCAACUGCUGCCUUAUCAAAUCACUUUCAUAUUUUCAAUCUCCUUGCAAUCCAGAAAGUUGUUUGCAACCUAACCAGAAAUAUUGCACACAGAAUUCUAAAAUGUUCAUAGUUUCAUGUAAAGCAGAUAUUUUGUGCAUGUAAUAUGCCUGCCAGAAAAGGAAGGAUACAAAAAUGGCAGAAUCAGUUGUAUGCUUUGUGAUCGAUAAGUUAAAUUCAUUGCUUAUCACCACAUAAUCACAUGAAUGAUGGAUCCAUUAAGCACCCAUCUUUAGGAUCAAGCCUAUUUAUAUAUUAACUUAUGAAGCAAUUGUUGAAGAAAUAGGUGUAAAAAUAAAUCCACAUAUUGAAUUGGGUUUAUGGGGGUAUAUAAGGUAUUAAAUUUGGGUUUAAAUUGAUAUUAAUAGUUUAGUUAAAAAUCAAAUGGGUGCAAAGAGUAAGUUGGGUGUAGAAAUAGGUUAGAUGAGUUUAAAUAAAAUUUCCCUUAUUAUUAUUGUUGUUGUUGUUGUUGUUGUUGUUGUUGUUGUUGUUGUUACUUUUAUAUUAAAAUUAAUUUGUUUGUUUUCAUUGUCACAUCCCGGCCCGGGCCCCCACCACAUCCCGGCCUUAACUCCACUGUAGCACGAUAUUUUUCGCUUUGGGCCCCGACCACGUCCUUACGAUUUUGUCUCUGGGAACUCACAUGAGAACUUCCCAGUGGAUCACCCAUCAUGGGAUUACUCUCACGCGAACUCGCUUAACUUCAGAGUUCCCAUGGAACCCGAAGCCAGUGAGCUCCCAAAAGGCCUUGUGCUAGGUAGAGAUGGAAAUAUACAUAUAAGGCUUACAGGAUCCAUUCCCCUGGAAGAUAUGGGAUGCUACAAUCCACCCCCCUUAGGGGCCCGACGUCCUCAUCGGCACACUUUCGACCAGGGAUUGGCUCUGAUACCAAAUUGUUACAUCCCAGCCCGGGCCCUCACCACAUCCCGGGCUCGACUCCGCCAUAGCACGAUAUUAUCCAGUUUGUGCCCCAACCACACCCUCACGGUUUUUUUUCUAGGAACUCACAUGAGUCCAGUGACUAUCUUUGAUUGGAAGGAUAAGGUUCUUAGGAACAAGACCGUGUGGAUGGUGAAAGUUUUAUGGAGGAACCACUCGGUUGAGGAAGCUACUUGGGAGACAGAAUAGCGUAUGCGAGAUGUGUAUCCAUGUCUAUUUUAUGGUUUUGAUUUGUAAUUAGUGAUGAAAUUUCAGGGAUGAAAUUUUUAUAAGGGGGGUAGAUUGUGACAACCCGUCCCUAUUUUUCCUAUGUAAUUUCUCCCCGAGUGUGUGAAAUGACUAUUAUGCCCUUACUGGCAAGUGAUGUGGACGUAUUUAUAUUGCUUUUACUUUACUUCUUGUUAUCGCAUUUAAAUUGUACACGUUGUUACGCGUGUACGAGAAUUUCUAUUAGUGUAGAAACACUAUUUCGGAUAGAUUUCGAUUCCCCAAUCUGUACAAAAUCUAAAACUCUAUCCCUAGCCUUCUAUUUAGCCCAUCUCGUGCACUCCACUAAUCCCAUCCACUCCCUUUUUGCAGCAACCAAUCAGAAAAAGAAAAAGAAAAAUAAAAAAAAUAUCUCAUUUCUCUCUCUUUCUCUUUCUUUCUUCUCUCUCCCGUAUACUCUCUUUCUCUGCAAACCCCUUGAACGAACCCCAAACCUCACAGAUCGAACCUAAAAACCAUUCCAUUGUACUCCUCUCAUCUUCACGAACACAACCAUGUUCUUGAAACCCGGAAUGGACGAGUUUUCGACGUCGAACUUGCAAGGUCCGAACUUAGUGCUUUGAGUUCAUCGUGUUUGGGACCGAGUUACGGGCUUUUAGGAAUUUUGCAGGCUUCCAUUAAACUCCUCGAGGCUCUUACAACAAUUUGUAAGAAGCUUGGAAGUGAAACGAUCAAGUUUUGAAGAGUUCACUGAUGUGAUAUAAACUAGCACUCAAACUUAAACCCUUUUUUUGAUAGUUGUAGUAUGGAUAAGUAGGGAUCCUUCUAGACCGGGGAUUAAGAGAGACUGCUAAUCUACUCAAAUUAGACUCAAUUACACUUAAAGACUCUUAUGACUCAAGAUUGACUUAAACUACUCAAAACUACACAAAACAAACAAAUCGACUCAAAACUAACACUAAGGAUGACUUUGGACGAAAAUUGAACUAAAAAGACUCAAAACAAUGUGUAUGGACGAAUUCUAACUUAUGUUGACUCAAAAUACUAAAAAGAAACCAGUUUGGACAGAUUCUAACUAAAACACACGAAAUAUAAAGGGGGGAAUGGUUUUUGACGAAUUUAAAGUAAAAGCAAACAGAUUUAAAGACUCUAAACAACUUUGGACGAAAUUUGGUGUUUUAAUAGGUGAAUGGCUAGCUAGAGGGUUCAUCCUCCACACAUGACACAUAUGCAUGCAAAUCGAUUUCCAGUUAUUAUUCCUAUUGACCAUGAAUGAUGAUAUUAUUCCUAUUGACCAUGAAUGAUGACACCCCAGAUCAACCGUGGACAUCACUAAUUAACCCUCAGAUUUUCCUAAGUUCAUUGAAUUGGACUCAGCGUCGCAACCAAAUUAUUCUUAUCAAGUUCCCUACAUGAACAACAUGAUAAAGAUACAUAUCAAAGAUCAUUAAGUUCUGUGAAGGUCAUAAGCAUUGACAAGGCAUUUGUAACUAUGAACAACAUGAUACUCUUGCUAGGAAUUUUACUUAACGCGAUCAUGACCAGUGACCUCCACUACUUAUAAAUAUAAGUUCAUAACUAUUAGGUAAAACUCCCUUAUAUUUUAGCAUCAAAUUCAUGCAUGCAAACUAAGUAGGCCUCCUUAAUCAACAUACAAGAAUAAGUUCUGAAUCAAACAGUUAAGCAAAUUGCAUUCACGAUUUAUGAAAUAAUAACUGAACAUAAUCAAUUCAUAUGCAAUAUAUGUUCAUGGCUUUGAAUCCGCCUCUAGUUAAAAUGAGUUUAGUUCCUCAUGUUCGCACUUAAACAAAGAUAACUUAAAUUAAACAUUGAAAACAAAAGAUAGAAUACACCUAGGAAUGCUCCAACAAUCCAAGCUUGAAUGGCAGGGCACGGCUCCAAGGGACUCUCCUUUCUCCUUGCAAGGCUGCGACACUAGAGAGAUUUCUGUGUAUGAUGGAUGUGUGGUGUGAAUUGUGGUGAGAGAUGGAUCAUGUAUGAUUGUUGUGGCACAAUGUAUUUAUAGGGAGAAGGGAAGGCAUGGCAAAGAGCUGAGAAUGUGGGGAAUCAGGACUCCAAAUCAACAAGGAAAAUGACAUUUCUCAUUUAGAUUCCAGGGAAGAAAAGAAAUGGUCCUUGCGGCAAGAAACAUAGCUUCUAGAAGGGCUAGGUGCGGCAUGAUUUUAGGAAAAGGGCUUGGCUUCUAGAAACCUGAUUUGUAGGUAUCUUAAUGUCAUUUAGAUGUCUUCCUUGUAGCUGGAAAUCGGGUAGGAUAAGAUAAGAUAAGGUUAGUUUGGAUAAUGUUGGAUAAGAUAAGGUUGGUUAAGAUAAUGUUCCUUCUUUUUAGUUGAUUCCUUAUUCUCCAAGUCUUGAUUUGAUUCUUCCAGAUUUGUAGCACAUUCCUAGCCUCUUUAAACUUCAAAAACGUCCAUCCAUUAUGCUCCAUUCAUAUGUUAUCCAUUCCAAGCCCAAAACUGCUCUAAAAUGCUCCAAAUUGCCUUUUCUUACCACUUUUGCCAUUUGAACCUACAAACACACGAAAAUAGCUUAAAUCAUUAUAAUAAACAGAAACUAACUCACUAAAUGCAAAGAAACAAGCUAACUAAGUCGCAUAAUUAUGCUCUUAUCAAUUUCCCCCACACUUAGCCUUUGCUAGUACUCGAGCAAAACAAAGAAAACAAAACACAACCUAGACCUUCCAACAAUUGCCUCAGGAAUUUCCAAUGAAACAUGACACGUUAAAACUACUCCCAUAGAUUUCAGCUAUCCUUACCCUCGAGCCCAUAUUUAAUCACAGUCACCACUCACUAGCUUGCAUUUAAUCAAUUAAAACAAUGUUUUGAAUGUAGUAACAUGCCAUAGAGAAUUCACUCAAUUCCUCACCGAAUAUACUAUCUAGUUUCACACAGACUUUCUGACUACAUUCCCUACACUAGGUAUAUGUGAGAAGAUUGAUGUAAAUAUGUAGACUAGCCAUUCACAUACGUUUAUAAUCAAAGAAAGCACUUUCUAGAAUUAUUAAUAUGUGUAAAUAUAUAUAUGAUCUCAUGAACGAAAUGCCACUACUUAGAAGCGAGAACUAGGGAUUCCAUAUGCUCGUACCAAUUUCAAACUCCAUAGAUUGAAACACAGAACAAUCAAGAUAAAAGUCUAAGGGUUGUAAUGGGGCUAAGGUAUUGGCUAACAAAGAAAGGUAAGGAUAAACAAAUGUUCUUAAAGCAAUAGUAAGAAAAAAUAAUGAAAUUGACACUUAGAAUUCACUUUUAAAUGCAACAACUAACUUUAAACACAAGGGAAAGAUUCUUACAACACUUAGAGUCGGAUUCAAACUUUUGGACCAUUACUUCAACAACCAAUACUUGUGAGUUCAUUCUCACUUAUUUCUCAACUAUUUUCCUUUCUUUUCUCAACUUUUUCUUCUUCUUUUUUUUUUCACGUUUUUUUCUUUUUUCCCUUUCUCGUGCCCUUCUCUUUGGCACACAAAAUGUACAACCUCAUAGAUUUCCAACGAAAAACCUUCCCCUACACUUGUUUUUCUGCAUAAUGUUGAUCAAAAGGAAUUCCCUCUAAGUCAUGCUUCACUAUACUUUAAGAAUAAGGGUAUGGAUAGUCCUAUUCUAGGCUAGGUAAGGAUAGUGUGGCUAACAAAGAAAAUAGGCUAAAUAAGGCUCAAAGGGGUUAAAUCUACAAGACAUAUGCAAGGGAUUAAGGCUUUUUGGCUCUGGUGGUAACUAAACAACUUCAUCGUGUCUUUGUUAUGCAAUCAAUUUUAAGCUUUGAAUGAAACGGGCAUGAGUUCUAGUAUUUGGAACUCUAAUGAUGAAAACGCAUUCUAAGUAGCAACCAAGCAAAGAAAUAAUGAGAUAAUGCAACGACUUUAGAAACAAAAACAUCACAGAUUAAUAACUCUCCAAAUAAAGUAUAGGCUCAAGUCUCCAGGGUUGUAGCGUUAGUUUGAGUUCCUUCCUUCAAGCAUGUUACAAAACUAAUUUUUUUUCCUUUGUGAUUAUAUGUGAAUUUGUUAAUGACAACUGCAACCAAGUAUUAACCAAAGAGCAUAUCAAACUUCCAUCCAUGUUUGUAAUUUUCUUUAACAGUCAUGCAAUUAAAAACCAAAUCCUCAUCAUUGUGUUGGAAGGUACCCUAAGAUACAAACACACAAAAAUGACUCUUUUUGGGUUUUUCAAAACUUUUUCGAAUUUGUUUUUCAAAUUUUCGUAUUUUUUUUUCAAAACACAUUAAAACACUUCAAAACACAAUAAAAACACUUCAAAACAGUAAGUAACAACUCUAGAAGUGCUAGGUGGUGAAAUCCAACGAAUAUUCAUGAAAAACACUUUGUUUACCGCCCCCCCCCCCCACUUAAACCAAACAUUUUCCUCAAUGUUUCAAACAUAGACUCACACACAAGCAAUCAAACAACACAACUAACAAACAUGACAAUUAUGGUAACGUAAAAGCAAUAAAGAGUAGGGUUAAGGAACACAAAUCUGGUUUUGGAGUUGGAUAUUCCUAGGUCUUCUUUAUUUGAACACAUGGGUUGCCUCCCAAGAAGCGCUUGCUUUAAUGUCUUCCAGGCGGACGAUACCUCAUUUUUAGGCUUUAUUGGAGCCCAUGGCAUGGAAGGGUAUUUCCUCCAUGACAUGCUCCUCGAAAUUUUCGUAAUAGGGCUUUAAAAGGUGUCUGUUCACUUUAAAUUCAUAUCCUGUCCUUAAACUUUGAAUUUGGACUGCACCAUAAGGAAAGACAUUAGUAAUAAAAAACGGACCAAUCCAUUUAGAACACAACUUACCGGGAAGUAAUCGAAGCUGGGAAUUGAAAAGCAACACUAUCUGCCCAAUGGAGAACGUCUUGGUAUGAAACAUAUUGUCAUGAAAAGCCUUCAUUUUCUCCUUGUAAAUAUGAGCAUUUUUGUAAGCCUCAUUCCUAAUUUCUUCAAGUUCGUUCAGUUGAAGCUUUCUAUAAAGUCUAGCCGCAUCUAUGUCCAUAUUGAACGUUUUGACUGCCCAAUGCGCUCUAUGCUCCAAUUCCACGGGGAGAUGGCACGAUUUUCCAUAGAUGAGCCAAAAUGGAGACAUCCCAAUCAGUGUUUUGUAGGCUGUCGAAUACGCCUACAAUGCAUCAUCCAAGCGCAAGCUCUAAUCCUUUCGAGUUGGUCCAACUGUUUUCUCCAAAAUCUGCUUGAUUUCUCGAUUAGAAACCUCGGCUUGGCCAUUUGUUUGAGGAUGAUAAGGUGUCGAGACCUUAUGCUUGAGGAUGAUGAGGUUUAAGCAAACUAUAGGUGUUUUAUUUAGGUUUCCGUAUAUGUGCUUUAAUUAAUUCUAUUUUAGUUAUUUCACGUAUAGGGGAAACAUAUCCCGAGGAAUUACCGGGCCAGGCUAGGUUCGGGGGCUACGACCCAACGACGUACUUGUGAGUGGGCAGUUUAUUUUUAUACCUAUAUACAUAUUGGUAGUUUCCCAAAUGCUUAGUUACUUCAUUUUUUUAUGCUUAUAUUGCGAUAUGGAUUGUGAUAAAUGCUACUAUAUGGUUGGGAUAUUAGUGUCAUGACAUUCAUACAUAUUAGUACAUGCUCAUCUUGGUGCACCCCGUUGUUGGUAUUUCGCCCAGGGCCAGGGCCAGUCUUUCACGUGUAUUUUCACAUCUGCACCGUUCGCUCAUUUGGAUCCAAGUUUAGGUGCCAGUACUGUCGUACAUAUUGCACUAGGCAAUUCUGACUCAUAUGUGACCGUGCAUCUGCACCAGUCUUCACAUGAUUGUUGUACUAGAGCGCAUUAUUACACCCGGUCUUGUCAUAUAGAUUGCUUUAGGCAACUCCGACUCGUGUGUUAGCUUAGAUGAUGAGCAAUCUGUUUAUAUUGAUUACCUCAUGAUUAUAUUACUGUGGCAUUUGAUACGUCAUAACUUGCCAUCUUUCUGGUUAUAAUGUUGUUAUAAUGCUAUUGAUUUCUUGUUUACAUACUUACGUAGUAUGUUUUAAGGAAACUAUACUUGUUUUACGGUGAAGGGUUAGUAUAUUUAAAGAUAAAGGUUUUAUAUAAGCAUUGUUUUGCUGACAUACUCAACUUUGUUUUUGGCCUCUCUAUGACCUAGAUAGCUGUACUCUUUGUGGCACUCGAGGAAUCUCAGCAGUUUUGACAUUCCCUGCUGUUUAGAUGUACGAACUUAUCACUGUUGUGUAAUAAGUGUACUUUAGUUACUUUGACUGCUCUUCUGUAGUCUCACUGUCUAUUACACUCUAAAUAAUUAUAGUGGGUUCAUCCUACGAUUGCACACUUUUUCACUGUUUAGUAUAAUUAGUUCUAAUUAGUUUUAAAUUUAUUCAUUUCUUACAUCACUUACCCUUAUGGUUACGUCACCUCACGGUGACAGCCAGCAUGCUUUGACCUUUCCAAGUCAGGGUGUGUCAUCUUAGUAUCAAAGCCAAUCCCUGGCUGGAAGUGUGCCUACGAGGAUGUCAAGCCUCUAAGGGGGUGGAUUGUUAUAUCCCACAUCGCCCAGGGGAGUGGAUCCUGUAAGCCUUAUAUAUAUAUUCUCAUCUCUACCUAGCACAAGGCCUUUUGGGAGCUCACUGGCCUCGGGUUCCACCGAAACUCUGAAGUUAAGCGAGUUCGCGCAAAAGCAAUCUCAGGAUGGGUGACCUACUGGGAAGUUCUCAUGUGAGUUCCCAGAAACAAAAUCGUGAGGGCGUGGUCGAGGCCCAAAGCAUACAAUAUCGUGCUACGACGGAGUCGAGCUCGGGAUGUGGUAGGGGCCCGGGCAGGGAUAUGACAUUCAUUGUUCCAGGCCACUAUGGUGGAAAAGAGCUAAACCGUUCUACAGGAGGUGGCUUCCCAGCUUCCUUUGGAGACCCCGGCUCGAGGAUGUGGUUCCCGUCGAGGAUGCUGGUUUUCAAUCAUGACGGACACCCUUGACCAUCCCUCAGUCAUAGGUCGGGGAAUGUUUACCAAAGGCUUGGGAAUGCCCACCAUCGAGACCUGUCUGCCUUCUCCUCCAGACAGAGAAUAAGAGAGGUCGAAUUAUUGACAUAUGAAGUGGUGGACUUGAAGCAAUAGAUUGCCGCCAGCAUGCGAGCUUGCGGCCUAGAGUAGUAUGAUAAACCAAAUUCGUCUUACCCUCCAAUUCUCUGGCAUUUGGUUCCUCGACGCAAAACCUGCUCCAAAUUUUAUAUUCGUAUUUUAUAAAUUUUCCUCCGGUUGAAUGUACAUUUUAAUUAAAUAUUCUUUUUUCAUUUUUAUUUUUUAAUUUCAUUAAAUUAAUUUAAAAAUAAAAAAACAAUAUUAAUUAAAAUUGCUAAAAAAUAUUUUAAAUAUUUGCAACGAAGUUGCUUCAUUGCAUAAAAUACAAAGGAAAAAAAUUAUCUCGCAUCAUUGCAACAAAAUGCAUAUAGUUAAUCAUUAUUUAAAUUUUUGGAAAUUGAUAGAAUAUCCUCCUUCUAAAUUUUGCACAACUAAAGGGUUCAUCCCGCAAAUUCAUCGUGAGGAUGGUAUUGUGCCGCAAAAAACCACACGCAAGGACAGACCUUCAUCGUUUUGACUAUAGAGCGAUAAAGCCUUCGACGGAAACUCUUGUCCUCCAGCGAUUACGAUUGCAUGACGAACUACUGUUUCUCUAUCACAUACAACUUGACGUCACGAUCUUUGCGCGAUGACAUUUUCGCCGCCUAAAAUUUUCGGUGACUGAUUUUGAUUUAGCAAGAUGACCCUUUCUUCGUCGGUGUACCUGUAAUACUUGUUGUAUAAAUCUUACAGGGCAAAACAAGAUUAUACUUUUUAGGCUUUUUUUUUUGGAUGGAUUUUUAUUUUCAAUUUUUAUGAAACUUUCUGAAUGAUUUUUUUCUCCCACCCCUUGUUUGGGGGAAUGUUCUGUGACAGCCCGAUCUGAAGAUGUGCAUUAUUUUAUCCUCGAGAGCAUGGAAAUUAUUAUGUUGCCCUUGAGCGUUGUGUGGUGUUGUGUGGUUUAAGUUUUGGAUGUGGACCACUUGAUUUCAUUCCUAAGUUUUUGGACCCAAUUGGAAACUUAAACUUUGUUUUAGUGUUUUGUGGUUUAUGGGGUUGAAAAAUCUGGACCAUACACACACACAAAAACCAACCCGUUGACUUUCUCUCUCUCUCUCUCUCUCUCUCUCUCUCUUCCUCUUCCCUCUCAGAUUUCUUCCAUUUUUCGUACAAUUGUACGGACAAGCUCUCAACCAACCAUUUCAUACACAGAUCGAGGUUGUGGACGUGAUUUUUGGGUUCCUUGCAAGCUCAGGAUCGCAAUCGUACCCUUGGUUCGACGUGAAGACUUUUAGAACUCAAGUUACCCAAGCUCCAGUAAGGGGUGAAUUUUCUUUGACGUGAUCGUGAAGGUUUUAGGUUGGUUUGAGACCUAAGAAGGUAUUAUUCUUGCUUCUCUAGCAUGUUGGAUCAAUUUUGGAGUGGUUUUGACGUUAAAACACUCGGGUUUAUCGAGUUGCAGAGGUGGCCAAACUAUCGAGAUUUUUCCAACAAGAUUCCGUUGGUUUUAGAUCCUAAAAGUGGUAAGGUUUUGUUCCUCUCAUCCUAAGCUUCAUUUUGGUUUAAAUUUCGUGAAGUUUGAUUGAGAAUUGAAGAAGAUAUUGAAGUUUAAAGUUUUUCCAGAACCCGGCGAUAGCAACGGUGGCCAGCGCAGGACUCCGGCGAACCAAGGAAGAAAGAGGAGAAUAUUCCGUCAAAGUUGACGAAAUAUGCUAACAGCGUCAGGUAUAAUUAAUGGUAUAUGCUGAUUUUUAAUGGAAUAUUCCCUAAAGCCAUUAUGGUUUCCGUCCAGUGUGUGAGGCACGUGUGGCCGUGCCUUGGCUGGCGCGUGAAGGCGUGUGGGAUGUCGGAAAUUUUUUCUAAAAAUAUGGGGAUGUUCGUGGGGUUGAGUAGGUCAUGUUGGUAUAUUCAAAUACCCCAAUUGAGCAUCGUAUGAGAAGUUAUUACAUAGUUUUGGUUAUGUUCUUUAAAUAACGUUUAUAUAGUUGUUUCGCAUAUAGGUAAGACCUAUCCAGAGGACGAGCGUAGUCAAGCGAGACUCGGGGGCUACGACCCUUCUACAUAUCAGUGAGUGGGCUUUUGGUUUUUAGUAUAUACUUAUAUACUUGGUAUUUUUCCCAGAAAAUGUGUUUAAAUGAAAUUAUGUUUUGAAAUGCCAUGCCUAUUGAUUUAUGCUUAGACUAUGAAUUAGUAUAGUAUGCAUAAAUGUGAUUUGACGAUGCGGACGCUUAGGUAAGUAUCAGGUGAGUUGUAGAUUGUUAUUAUAAAUUGAUGAUUAUGUGAGAUGUGUUGAGAGCUCAUAAACAUGCACCCCGAUGUUAGUGCUCUGCCUAAGGUUAGGGCCUAGCCUUCAUGUGAUCGUUCACCUCUCGCACCACACGCUCACCUUGGAUUCAAGGCAGGUGCCAGCCUGUCGUACAGACCACAUUAGGUGGUUCUGACUCGUAGGUGACUUACGAUGCUUCGCACAACCUUCACGUGAUCAUAACACUUGAACGUACUUAUUUACACCUAGCCUGUCGUACAGACCACAUUAGGUGGUUCCAACUCGUGUGCAGGCAUACUUGUUGAGCUAUAAAUAUAACCGUACAUGCCACUUUAGGUGGAUCUGGCUAAUAUAUUAUUUCUCAUGAAAUAAUUCACCUGAGUUACUUAUUCGGUUAUUUUGAGAUAUUUGGCAUGGCAUACCUUUGAAUAUUACUAUUCUGAGCAUGGUUUUGAGAUAUGUAUAUAUUCUAUUUUCUAGGAAAUUAUACAGGUUUUACGGUGAAUGGUUACUAUUUUUGAUAAAUGAAAUGGUUUUGAAAAGCUUUGUUUUUACCCACUCACACUUUCUGUUUUGCCCCUCCAGGUUUUAGGUAGGAGUGCUUGUUGGUGGCUUACAAGGAAUCGUGUGUGGUUCUGAUAGAUGAUCACUAAUGUAGGAUCAUCUUUGGUAUUGUAUAAUUAGUAUUUGUCCUGCUGGACUGCACUUAGGCCACUUACACUGUGGUUAUGUGUAGUCACACUUAUUCUCGUCUUGCAACUUAUCCUAUCUAGUGUUUUAAUUAGUUUAGUUUUUAUUUAUUCGCAUUUCUUUAUAUCGUUAUUCUUCUGCACUGCGCACAUGGCUACAUCACCCUCACGUGACGGCCAACAUGCCUCGAUUUAGGUCGGGGUGUGUCAGUUUGGUAUCAAAGCCUAGGUUUGGCAGUCUUGCAUAUCUUGUCAAUGUUUUAAUUAUCUUGGUGUCUUCUGUCAGAACUAUGUCGCCUCGUAGAGAACCAUGUCCUUCAGAUGAGCCUAGUUUCCCUAAUAUACUCAGUUAAAGGAAGUUAUAGCCAAUGCUAUUCAGUCUUCGUUUCGUCCUCCCCAAUGGACUCCUCUGGAGACUAUGUAUAAUCUAAAGUUGAACCAUUUCAUGGGUAAUGAAGGGUCCGAAUGAGCAGAGAAAUGGCUUAAUUGUAUUGAGAAGACUUUUCGUUUGAUGCAUAGACAGGGAAAUCUUCCGGAGGAUAGAUGGGUUGAGACGACUACCUGGUUUUUAGGUGAGCAGCCUGCAUCCUGGUGGAGAUAGGAGUCUUAUCAGUUAUCACCAGAGGAAGCUGCUGAUUGGGAAGUUUUUAAGCAGUUAUUUUAGAAGAGAUUCAUUCCUCCAGAAUAUAUAGAUCGCAAGAAGCAAGAAUUCAUGCACCUAAAUCAAGGAAAGAUGACAGCUAAUGAGUACUACAGGAGGUUUACUGAUUUAUCUCGCUAUCACUAAGAGGUUGCUGCUAAUUCAGUAGAGAUGCUCCGUCAUUUCAAGUUGGGUACUCGAAAAAAGUGGCGUUCUAUGGCAACCACGACCCCCUAUGCUACUUACUAGGAGUUUUAUGAGAUUCUGCUGCGAAUUGAAGAUUCAGAGAAUAUGCCUAGUGAGAGUGAGGAGAAAGAAAAUGAUGGAAAUCAGAAGAAAGAUGAUAAAGGUAAAGGUCAAUCAUUUUUGGGACGUCAUAAGACUCAAAGCUUUAAGAGAGGUGAAGCUAGUUCCAGCUCUUCCUGUGGGAGUUGGGUUUCCAUUGGUCAGAUGAGAGGUGGUAGAUUUUCUGGAGGUCCUCGUUCUCAGAAGUAGAGAUAUUAUGGUGGUUCUGGUGGUUCGUUUUGUCGUAUAUGUAACAGUUGACAUUUUGGGGAGUGCAGGCAGGGUAGUAGAAAAUGUUUUAGUUGUGGUCAAUUGAGGCAUCGGGCUAUGCAUUGUCCUCAGAAUCAGCAGAGGCCCCAGCCGCCUUCCUUACCACCACCAGUGCCGAUCUAGCAAGUUUCAGGACCUAGUAGUUAUGCCCAUACGGGUUGUGGAGGUGCUUAUAUUUACCAAGGUGAUGUAGCUCCUUAUUUUGUAGCAGUAUCAGUAUCUGCAGGACCCGUAUUAGCAGAGUGAUUAUCCUCAGUAUUCUGGAGGUUAUAUACCACAUCCGCCAUAUUCAGCUGGUGGAUCACAAUGGUAUCCUAGAGGAUAGUCCCAACACGUGGAGGUUGCUUCUAGCAGUGCAGGAUCAUCGAGACAGCCUAGUCAGCCAGGUCAGGGGCGUAGUGUGUAUGGACGUGGUAAUCAGGCUAACAGAGGUCGUGGAGGAAAACAGCAUGCUCAGGGACGUAUUCACCACAUUACACUGCAUGAUGCUCAAAAUAAUCCUGAUUUGAUCAUGGGUACGUUGAAUAUUCUUGAUCGUUUUGCUAUAGUAUUAAUUGAUUAUGGUGCUACGCAUUUUGUUAUUUCUCAUACGUUCGCUCAAAUGACACAACCUCAUCCUACACCUCUUGGAUAUGAUUUAGAGUUUGCGAUGGCUAGAGGGGAGAGAUGUUAUGUUAGUUAUGUAUAUCUAGGAUGUCUCGUGUUAGUGGAGGAUGUAGUUAUGCCCACUAAUUUCAUUCUGUUAGAUAUUGUUGAUUUUGAUGUGAUUUUGGGCACAGAUUGGUUACAUUACAAUCGUGCCAAUAUAGAUUGCUACGGGAAAAUAGUUACUUUUCAUCAUCCUGGAUUGCUUGAGGUUACUUUUUGUGGGCGAGCGUAGUGAGGUGAGGCAUGGUGUUAUUACUACCAUAAGAUCUAAAAAGUUGUUAAAGAAAGGUUGUUAGGGAUAUUUGGCUCAUGUAAUGUUGAAUGGUAAUACUCAUAUUAGUAUGGAGGAUGUUCGAGUGGUCAGGCAUUUUCCUGAUGUAUUCCCUGAUGAUUUACCUAAAGAUCAGAGUGUCUUCAUGAUUGGAUGCAGAUGAAUGAGUCUCAUAAUGGGAUUGGAUUUAGAGUCCUAGUUGGAAUCAGAGAGCUCGACACUGGAUGGAGAUAAAUUUUUGGCCAUAAAGGGAUAAAGGGAAUAUCCAAGCAGAUGCCAAGCAAACAUAAUCCCAUUGGAACUCUACCUCGACAGGUGGCCACCUUUUUAGCACAUCUUUUGCCAACGGUAAAUUGUUUGUCAUGGAAGCCUUGAGAAGAGGCUCUGCAACAUUGAAACGUCCUUCAACUCAGCAAACAACUCAAAUGCUCAAUGAAAAAACCCUCGCUCUACACAAACCCAGCUACACACUUUUUUUGAGAAAAACACUAAUUAUCCUAACCCUCUCAUCAACACAUAUUUAGUUUGGACUACCAACAUUGUGUUAACUAUCGGCGUCGUCUUCAGUUUGGACUAACAUCACUAGAGCCGUAGAAUCACGCGAUCAAGGAUCAUCUUCAUUUUGGACUAACAACACUACUUCUAGUUGGUUGGUUAUCUAUCCAAGUCUCGUCUAGUGAAUUUUUUUUAACUUAUUCACCGAAAAAGAUCACUUUAUUUGCUUCCCAGCGAAGUGGAGUGUUCAAUGAUUGGUUACUCUCAAUAGCAUUUUGCAGUUUGGCAUUAAAACGGAUGAACCACAUUCACCAUUAAAAUGCUGAUCUCCUUUAAGUACCUGUGUGUCUAUAGCCUGAUAUCGAUUAAGAGCACCUAUAUUCUCAUGAAUAUAGUCAAGGCAACUGAACCUGGUGCAGAAGAUCAUGAGCAGUGAUCUAGGCAUCAGUGUGUUCAAGUUUUAGAACCCAAGGUUGAUAUAUGUUCCAUCCAUGGGCUUAACCGCUUGAGACAGAUGUCAGCAGCGCAUUAUGUAUCACCACCACAUCUAUGCUACUCGCUCGACCAAGCUCGGUUGGAGUUGGCACGCUCGCUUUUACAAGAAAGACAUAGUUAGCUUAUAGUUACUCGACCUGUGCGCAAGGUAAGCUUUGUAAUUUUUAAGGUUAGCACAUAUAAUAAUUAAGUAUUAAACUUAUCAUUUAUGAGUCAAACUUGAUACAUCUUACUUGCAAAUUGAGAAAAAUAUCCUUAAACAGCAGGGUUAUUGACAACAAGUGUUUUCAUCCUAACACUAUGUUUGGAUGAAGAAAUUUAAGAUUACUAAGGAAUUUUAAAAUGACGGAAAUUGAAAUGACGAGAUUUUAUUUUCUAGAAUUUGUGAAUUUUCUUGUUUGGUUAACCUAAAAGAACAAUGGAAUUGAGAAUGGAAUUUGUUAAUUUUAAACUCUCAAUCAUAGAAAUUGGGAAAUGACACCUAUUUAUAUGGAAUUUAAACUUGGGAAUUGGAGGCCCCAAAUUCCAAGUUUUUUGUUUUUACGCGGAAAUUCUAAAUUUCUAUGUUUAUAUAUCCAAACAAGGGAAUUGAUGCAUGUCAAUUUAUAAAUUAACUUUUAUCUAAAUUCCAAGUUUAUUUCCUUCAUCCAAAUAUAGUGUAAAUUUCCCCUUCUCUUGUGGAAAUUGAAGCUUCUACUCUACUUUAGAAGCUGCCCAUGCGGACCCUAGUUGCUAGUUGCUUGUUACUACCAUUACAUUGGGCUUGACCAAUAUGCCAAUCUAUAGUUGGGCCCAAACUUUGUCUUUCGUCUUUUCAAACUUUAUUGGGCCAAAUCUCCAGUGUCUGAGAGCAAAAAUAAAAAGCGUGUGGACAGUGACCUGGUUGGACUAAUAAUCUUAUGUUAAAUCAACCAAGUUUCAUUUUCAUUUCCUUUCUUUAAAUUUGAGUAUUAUCUUUUCAUAGAACGAGAGAAGUUUGAACUUGGGACCUAUUAUAAUACUAACUCAUAAUACACUCUAACUUACAUAGAAUAAGUUUACCACUAUGCAACGUUUCAACCCACUAACAAUGAUAUAUCUUGAAAAACUUACGCAUGUCAUUAUUUUAUUGAAACGAGACGCCAUAUUAGCAUGGACCAUUUUCACAUAAGUCCUUGAUCAAUAGUUCUACACAUCUUGAUAGAAAAAACAAAAUUCCUUCACUGUGGGUUUGGAUGCAAUAAAAAAUAAACUCAGAUUUUGACUAAAACUCGGGAAUUCAUGAUAAAAAUUCCAUUUUCCCUCGUUUAGCAACUAAAGGCCCAGAAAUUGUUCGUCAUUUCACUAUUUCAACGAAAAAACAAAUUAUUAUUUUUUCAACCGAGCGCCAAGCCUCCCUCAUCGAGUCCAACUCGAAUAAUCUUAACCAAGCGUUGUGUGGGGAUACUCGAAGAAGGACAUGGGAUUAGGAUCCUUUGGUUGGGUCACGGGUGUUGUUGAUUCACCAUAAAGUACAUGUAUUUAAGGGCAACUGAUGAAAGAGGGGAUUUUCGUUUGGCUCUUGGGUGUGAGAAAUUUUUCAUUGUGACGGGAACACAAGUGGUAUAUCAUGUAUUUUAACAGAAGUGGUGAGAAAUUUUAUUUUUUAACUUAUUAACUUUUUAGCACACAUCACUCAUUAUUUGUAUAGUGACACGUGAAGUACCAUUCCGUAUACCGAUCACACUGAAAAAUCUCUGGUGGUGCAGUUAUACUGGAGUCACCUCUCCACUUCAUGCGGAGAUUUUAGCAGCACGAGCAGCCAUUCGUUUUGUCCAGAAACUGCAGGCAGGUGUGGUGGAAUUGUUGAUGAUACAUGGUAACAUAGUGUGUUUUCCAAGUUGGGGAGGUGAGUUGUCGUACGCGUUUGUAAAAUAUUGAUUUUCUCUCAUCUUAAAAUUCCAUAAUCUCCAAUUUCUAUACACUAAAAUUUAUAAUUGUCAAGAAUUUAUAUUCUUUAAUUGUAGAUAUGAAUGUCCACGUGUCUUCAAUCUAUUAUUUUGUUUGAGUGGACAGCCCAUGCCUAAACAAAAUUGUUAAAAAAAAGUGGUUUGAUAUGUUUGUUAGGUUAAAAAACACUUUGCCCAGAAAAAAAAAAAAACAUCCAAGUAAGAGUGGAGAAUGUACGGCAAGAGAAGAGGAAAGAAAAGACAGAAGAAUGAUGCUGAAGAAAAACAUCAGUGAGUUAUACCAUGACCAGCGAGGUGAGAAGAUAGUGAGAGUUAUUUUGUACUCUUAUUAUUUCAGAUAAUAAAAGAAAAUAUUACUACUGUCUGAUGACAUAGGCAUACUUAUAAAACCUCGUAAAUAUUAUGUCUUAUUUACUUUAUAUUCUAUUGCACACAUAUCAUCGAUUUCAUAAUAUGUUCAUUUAAAUAAUGUGAAAAAAAUUUACCUAUAAUUCAAAAUGCCAAGUGAUGUUGAACCCAGAAGGUUAUAUAUGAGCAUUCUUAAUACAGUGAACUACACUUCUAUGAUAUGACACAAGGUUCCUAGGUACAAUCUGAAAUUGUAAUACAUUCCUGUAAGUAUGAUUUUCCAUUGUGAAACUUGUUCAUUUCAAUAGAGCAUUAUAUAGUAUACGAAGCUUAUGAAAUGUUGAAGCAUAUCUCCCAUAAGUACAUCUCUCAAGUAAACAUAGAAGCAAAUUGCUCUGUACAAAUUUCAAAGGAGAAUGUGUUAUGAAGUGUAUAAAAUCCCUAAAGGAUUCAAAUUCCUUAAAGUAAGCUUUGGAAGGGUAAAGCACAAAUUAUAUACUCAAUACCGAUGGAUGAUAUAAAUUACCUUAGUGAGUACUUUCAUUAUGAUAUUGUUGCAAUAUACUAUAUCUCUUGCAAGAGUUUAUAUUAGAUUUGGUCUUUUUAAGAGUCUAGAAAGAUUAUAAAGUGUUGAAAGGAAUAUUGUCCCGAGUUGUGGAUCGAAUAAUGCCAACACGACUCUUAUCCAUCAAAAGAUUUAUGGUAUUAAAGAACCAUAUGGAUUGAAGAUCAUGAGUUGAACACUCAAAUGAUUAAUCAAUAUUUAGACACUAUGAAAGAUCAUUCAUUCUUGUGAGGGAAAUGGUGAACUGAUACUUGGUCCAGAAUUACCAUAUCUUACUGAAGCAUGUGCCUUACUUUAUUUAGCACAAUACACUGGAUCAUAUGCUAUAUUUCCUAUGAAGCACAAUACCAACAUAUGGAUAUUAGAAUAAAAUAAAGUUUAUUUAUUGUUAUCUCUGGGAAAUUAUAGACAUGCACUUAUUCUAUUCCAAAGAACUCACUGAUAGCCAUAGUCUUAUUGGGCAAGUAAAUUUGAAUCUCUCUCUAGCCUGCAUACAGAUCACUCACAUAAAGGAUUUGUAUUUACAUUAGGCAUAGUCUAAUAGUAUAGGUAGUGAUUACUCAUUGCGAAUAUAUCAAGCAUGAUUACCCAUAUAAUAAUAUGGUCCCCAAUCAUAGAUACACCAAAUAGAACCAUACCCUAUCGAUUCCACAUGACCAACAUAUAUCUAAGCACACAGACAUACAAGUGCUACAAAAUAAUUAUAAUAUGUGGUUUGUGGCUUAUCUCUUCAUACUAAUAGUUACCAAAUUUCAUUAUUGUCAUCUAGAGCUUAAUAAUUACGUAAAUCUCGAUAAGGUGCCACUUGCACGUAAUUAACCAAGAUGCACAUCUCCCAAGAUGGGCUGCUGACUGAAGUAGGUCCACUAAGCUCUAUCAGGCCUCUCGUAAUGUUAACUUUUGCCCUUAAGAACGAUUCAAAAGAUGUUAACCAAAGUCACCUCUCAAUCAACAAGUAGAUGAAAAGUAUAGGGAAAAAUUAUUGUCAUUGAUUAAUUGAAACUAACUGAUACAAGCACUACUAUAUAUAGUGAAAACUAAAGCAAAACCUAAUCCUUAAAGGAUAUAGAAAACUCUAAUAUCCUUGUCCUACAAGAAAACCAUAAAACAAAUCCUAGACAAAACAAAAAACUUAACGGGCAAGUAACAAAUCCUUGGCCCGCAAGAUAACAACCUAAAUUCCAAUCUAAAUUCCAACACCCCCCGUCAAACUCAUGGCGGUACACAAACAUGAGUUUGCCAACCAGUAGAUGCGGAUGCAAUCUCCGUUAGGCGGACAAGACAAGGCGAACAAGCUAGCAAACGAACAAACAAACGAGCAAACAAACGAACGAACAAACAAGUAAGCAAUUUCCAUACUACCAACUCCAAUCCUCGCGGGCAUCUUCUUCAAACGUUGAAGAAGCGGGUGGAUGCAAUUCAACAAAUGCGGCCUUAGGUGGUGGUUCUUUUAACUCUUUCCGAGCUAACCAAGGACAUUGAUUUUUCCAAUGCCCUUGUUCUUUGCAGUAGCUACACUGAUCAAUAUUUUUAACACGCUUCUGGUUUUGAGGCCUAAAUGAUGUUGCCAAAGCCGAUGGGUUCACCAAAGAAAGACUACGCGAUUGUACCCGAACUUCUUCGGCUUGCAAUUCAUGAAGCACAUAAUCAACGGAAGGAAGUGGAGUCCGGUGUAGGAUAGAGCUACGGAGAGUCUCAAACUCACUUCGAAGAGGCAUUAAAAACUGAACAAGGCGUUGUUCUUCUCUAUAUUUACAAUAGAGCUCAUCAUUGCUAAGUCCAUCAGGUUCUGUCAGUGCAAGCUGGUCCCAAAGACAGGUCAUGUCAUUAUAAAAAUCUUGGAUACUUUUAUCACUUUGCUGGCUGCCACGAAUCUCCAUCUCUAACUGAUAACGCUUAGCAAAAUUCGACUUGGUACACAACUUUGCUAAGUGAUCCCAAACCUCUUUAGAUCUUGAGAACUUAGAAAGUUGCAUUCCAAUCUUCAAAUCAACAGAGUUAUUAAUCCAAGUAGUAAUCUUUGAAUUGUUCAUCUCCCAAUUAGCAAGCAAGUCAACAUGUUUUUCAUCUUUGGGGUUAUUCGGAACGGAAAUCAUUCCAGAUACAUAGCCCCACAAACCUUUUCCAAUCAAGAAAUUCUUCAUGACAUAUGCCCAAUACACAUAAUUAUUACCAUUCAAUCUCACACCAAUCGCUUGCAGCGAGUCAUCCUUAGUUGUCAUAUUCAAUGAACCAAAAACAAAGACAAAGUGCACAAAACUGACAAUAGUUUGAUGUAGGCUACAGACUGAUGCAAGCAAAUCUGAUUCUGGGCAGCAGGUUUGGUGAGCCAACUGACAGCUACACGGGUUUCUCUGCAAGCCUCCCUGAUGCAGCGGAAUAUGGUGGUUCAAGCAGCAGCGGUGGCGGACGGUGCGAGACAAACGAACAAACAAGCUAUCAGAUGAACAAAUAUAUAAUCUAUGAGACAGGUCCUCACGAACCUGCUCUGGUACCAAGAUGAAAAGUAUAGGGAAAAAUUAUUGUCAUUGAUUAAUUGAAACUAACUGAUACAAGCACUACUAUAUAUAGUGAAAACUAAAGCAAAACCUAAUCCUUAAAGGAUAUAGAAAACUCUAAUAUCCUUGUCCUACAAGAAAACCAUAAAACAAAUCCUAGACAAAACAAAAAACUUAACGGGCAAGUAACAAAUCCUUGGCCCGCAAGAUAACAACCUAAAUUCCAAUCUAAAUUCCAACACAAGUCAGCAGUAAAGUUCCGGCCCAAGCAUCGUCGUCACGCGCCACUACACGCGGCGAUUUUUGAUGAACAAGAUCCAUAAUUUUCGACUAGUACUAAACGCCAUCAAACUUCAUAGCAAUGUAGAAGAAGACAAGGGAAAGAAAUUUCAUGCCUGAGCCGACUCCUAAAGGUAGGCGAAAGGAGGUGAAAAUCAUCGAAGAAGCCUCGGAAGGCCGUGAAUUGCACGCCAUCGUCCGACGUCCGAUGGAUGACUAGAGACCAGGUCCUUGAAGUUGGGGUUAAUGCGAGUCCAACCCAGGUGGCGACCAAUUUCGUUCAGUGGAUUCACCGCAGAUCGAUGAGACACCCGCUGCUACCCAAGUACAAUUGUGGCCUGGAUCCGUCGCGUACCGAGGCCAAUGAGAGGGAUAUAUGGGUGGAUUGUGAUAUGUAGGUCAAGGGCUACACUUUGGUAGUUGUGGCGACAAUCGAUUCGCUGGAAAAUGACGUGAAUCGACGUUGGAAAAAAUCUUUGCAAAACCGGGUAGCGUCGCCUAGUCGGGUCAAGCACAUAGGUCAACUUUCCAAAAUCGACAAAUCCCUCCAACAAACUUGGCACUUCUAUUUAUAGAGGUUCAAAUGACUGUUUUGCCCUUGCAUUUGCUUGCUUAUUUCUCCUUCGUUAUAACUUCGUUUUGUGAACGAUUUUUUGCCUGCGCAUAGUGGGAUCAAGCUCUAUCCAAAAAUACUAAAAGUGACCUCGAGAGUCUAUGAAUUUUUAAUGGAUGAUUAUUCAAACUUCAUAACUAAGUAGCUAAAGCUCUGAUACUAACAAAAAUAAAAUAAAAUGAAAUUAUGAAAUAUCCAAAUUCAAAUAGUGAAUUUUGGGGACAAGAUUUCAGAGAAGACUUGUGGCCAUUCAAGGGGAGUGUUGUGACUAUGGAUGCCCACAUGUCUUGCAUCUAUUAUUUGGUUUGAGUGGAUGACCCAUGCUUUUACCAAAUUGUCAAGGGAAGUGGUUUGGUAGGGUUGUUAGGUUGAAAGACAUUUAACCUAUAAAAUAAUCAUCCAAGCAAGAGAGGAGGAUAUACAGCAAGAGAAGAGGAAAGAAAAGACAGAGGCGACAUGCAGAAGAAAAAAAUCAGUGCUUUUCAACCUAACAACCCUACCAAACCACUUCUUUUAACAUAAAGUUAUUUUGUACUUCUAUUAUUUCAGAUAAUAAAAGAAAGUACUACUGCUCCUGAGGACGUGGGCACACUUGUUAAACCUUGUAAAUGUUGUGUCUUAUUUAUUUUAUAUUUUACUGCACACAUAUCAUCGGUUUCACAACAUGUUCAUUUAAAUAACCCCAAUUUUUUUUCAAAACUUAAAAAGUUAGAAAAGCACUAUUAAUAAUAGUUAAAUUAAUACUCACUAUUGAGUUUGUUAAUUUAUUUAAAACUAACCUCUUACCAAACGAUUAUGAGUGUGACAAUUUACUCUUUUACAUCGUAUUUUUUACUUAUAAUUUUUAUUUUUGUUUAGAAUUUUUAUUUUUGUUUAGUUUGAUUUUCUUUUCAAAAUAAAUGAAAUCUUAAUUAGAGCGAUACGCAUCACGCUCAGAUUUAUAAGGCCUUUAU
Molecule: long non-coding RNA, 75021 nt
Filed under: Malus domestica (apple)
Lineage: Eukaryota; Viridiplantae; Streptophyta; Magnoliopsida; Rosales; Rosaceae
Description: long non-coding RNA (MDOM_LNC004597)
Source: RNAcentral